ACUCUUGAGAGUGAUCAUGAUAUCGUUGAGCUAGCCCAAACUGUGGCCAAAGAGUGUGGUGGUUUGCCACUCGCACUUAUUACUAUUGGUCGAGCUAUGGCCUUCAAAAAGACAGCCGAGGAGUGGAGUCAUGCAAUUGAUGUGCUAAGAACAUCAGCUUCUGAGUUUGCAGGUUUGGGAGAAAAGGUGUAUCGUCUUUUAAAGUUUAGCUAUGAUAGUUUGCAGAAUGAGACGAUUAGAUCUUGUUUCUUAUAUUGUUGUUUAUAUCCCGAGGAUUAUGGCAUUCUUAAAUGGGACUUGAUUGAUUGUUGGAUUGGUGAGGGAUUCUUAGAGGAAUCUGACAGGUUCAGUGCAGAAAACCAAGGAUACUACAUUGUGGGCACUCUUGUUCAUGCAUGUUUAUUAGAAGAGGUGGAAGAUGAUAAAGUAAAAAUGCAUGACGUUGUUCGUGAUAUGGCUCGAUGGAUAGCUUGUGAAAUUGAGAAGGAGGAGAGAAAAUUUUUGGUUUGUGCAGGUGCUGGAGUAGGAGCGGUAUCAGAUGUUGAAGGAUGGGAAAAUGUGAGAAGAUUGUCAUUGAUGCAAAACCAAAUUGAAAUUCUGUCAGAGGUUCCCACAUGCCCUCAUCUCCUCACUUUAUUUCUUGACUUUAAUUAUAAAUUGGAGAUGAUGACCGAUGGCUUCUUCCAAUGUAUGCCUUCUCUCAAAGUUUUGAAGAUGUCAAACUGUGGGCAUGUCAAAGUUUUGAAAUUACCUUUUGGGAUGUCAAAGUUGGGUUCACUACAACUUCUUGAUAUUUCACACGCCGGCAUAAGAGAGUUACCAGAAGAGUUAAAGUUGUUGGUCAAUCUGAAAUGUUUGAAUUUGAGGUGGACACGUAUGUUAAAUAAAAUUCCACGGCUGCUAAUAUCAAAUUCUUCAUGGUUACGUGUGUUGAGAAUGUUCGCUAUUGGCUUUGAAAAUUCUGAAGAACCAUCAGAAGACAGCGUUUUAAUUGGUGGGGGUGAAGUUUUAGUACAUGAAUUGCUCGGUUUGAAAUAUUUAGAGGUGUUGGAGUUGACCUUGCGAAGCUAUGAUGCUCUCCAAUUUUUUUUGAGCUCAAAUAAGUUAAAAAGUUGUAUUCGAUCUCUUUUCCUCAAUAAGCUGGGAGGUACAAAGUCGAUUCAUGCUACGGCUUUCUCAGAUCUAAAGCAUCUCAAUGAACUAUGCAUUCGUUCGGCAGUGGAGUUGGAAGAAUUGAAGGUUGAUUAUACAGAGAUUGCGCCAAAAAGGUCGGAACCUUUUGUUUUCCGCAGCCUUCACCGUGUUACUAUGGAGCGGUGCCAUAAAUUGAAAGAUUUGACAUUCCUCGUUUUUGCUCCAAGCCUCAAGUCUCUUUCGCUAUACGGAUGCAAUGCUAUGGAAGAAAUAAUCAGCGUUGGAAAAUUUGCUGAGACUCCUGAGGUGAUGGGACAUAUAAGCCCUUUUGGAAAUCUCCAAACGCUUUAUUUAACUGAUUUGCCAGAGUUGAAGAGCAUCUACUGGAAGCCAUUGCCUUUCACUCAUCUCAAAGAAAUGACGGUACAUGGGUGUAAUCAGCUUAAAAAGCUUCCACUCGAUUCCAACAGUGCAACAGAGCGUAAAUUCGUUAUUCGUGGAUACACACUCUGGUGGAACCGUCUUCAAUGGGAGGAUGAAGCCACUCAAAUUGCUUUUCGUUCCUGUUUCCAAUCUCAUGAAAUAUAAAUUCCUGAGCGGUGGUUGCAAAAUUUGAUUUCUAGUGAGUGCUUUUUUAUUAAACUCUUUCAUAUAUUCUCGUCGUUUGCUUCGUGCAACAGACUAGGUUUUUAUUUCAGAUUCGUUUUUUGUCUCCUGCAAAUCACAAUUAAAUGUUGAAUUAUAUGGAGUCAAUGCUUUAGAAAAUUUUCAAGGCACUGCCAUUUCCUCUUUCUUUUUUCUUUUUUUUUUGGGUCGAAUUGAUGCUCUGGCUUUUUACUUUUUGUUGUCAAAUUUUGCUCUGUUUUUUCAAGUUGAUGCUUGAAUAGUGAAUUCAAUUAAUGCUCACAUAAAUUUGUUUAGUUGCCGCAAAAGGAUAUAAUUAGACUGAAGUACACACUUCUAGAAUGAACAAAGUUGGGGCUUUGAUUUUCUAUGGUCUAUUAUAUACUCCUUUUAAUAUCUUCUGUUCUAACUAUAACCAAAUCCUUUGUUUUAAUAUUUGCCAUUCAUCUUAAUAAUUAUGAAGCUUUGGUAAAAUUUUCAAACAAAGUUGAACAUGCUGUUUUGAGAUUUGGUUCAUGAUUUUCGAUGAAUAUCGUUGUUCCAUUUGAGUUGGAUGUGAAUUCAAAAUCUAUAUAUUCUUUGGUUUUCAAUUCUGAACUCAAUUUCUUUUUCUCAAGCAUGUUAUGCAGAAAUGAUUUUUACUAAAUCAUUUUGAUGAAUUGUUUAAAUUAUCAUAAGCAUGCUAAUAUGAUAAGUUGUUUUAUGAACGAUUAAUUAAUCAAUUAAUAUUAAAUUAUAUAUUAGUCAAUUAGAUAUGCGUUACAUGUCAUGUUUAAAAACUAUUUAUUUAUAUUUCAAACAAAUUUGACUGGAUGUUGUGUAGGUAAUACUACAUAAUUUCAAAACAAAAAAAGUAAUAAAAACACGUUAAAUUUUGUUUUUAUGAAGAAAAAUUUAAAAUUUUAUUAAAUAGGUGAAAAUAAUAAAUGGAUUCGUGUAUGGUUUGAGAUUCUUGACAUAAUUAUGAAAUAAGCCGGAUUCGACUUAGUUCAAUUUUGACGCGAUAAGAAGACGACACCACACAAACACACGACAAGAACCGUUACCUGAGAAGAUUGCCAGCAGGAAUUUUGAAAUUGAUUUCACUACAAUAUCUUAAUCUUUCAGAUACACCCAUCACUGAGCUGCCAUAAGAGCUAAAAGCCUUGGUAAAUCUUAAGUGUUUGAACUGUAGACAAAUUAUCUCUCUACAAUUCAAAAACAACUGAUUUGUUACUUUUUCAAUGCUACAUGUUCUGCGAAUAUUGAGUUGUGGUUAUCUUGUUGAAAGAUCAGAAAAUAGAGUUCUAUUUGGUGGUAGUGAAUUGUUGGUUGGGGAGUUGCCUAGGUUAAAACGUUUAAAUGUAUUAAGCAUCACCUUACAAGGUUUUUCUGCUGUCCGAAAACUUAUGAGCUCUCAAAAGUUUCAAAGCUGUACAAAAUGUUUGGAGCUUAUAGACUGUGAUGAUUCAAAGUCUUUUGCCUUGGCAGAGUUGAAGCAUCUCGAAAACUAGUUUUUCGAAUUGUGGAAGAGUUUAAGUUCUGCUGUGUUGAAGUUGGAAAAGCUCAAGAAUGUUUUCGUUUGAACAGCUUUCACCGAGUUAAUAUAAAGGCUUGUCAUAAAUUGAGGGACGUGAUAUGGCUUGUAUUUGCUCCAAAUCUUACGGUUAUUCAAAUAGAAAAAUGUAUGCAGAUGGAAGUAAUAAUCCGUGCAAGGAAAUUGGGUGAAGUUCCAGAGAUGAUGGCAGAUCUAAACCCGUUUGCAAAACUCCAAUAUCUUCGCCUGCGAGUUCUACCAAAAUUAAAAAGCGUCAAUUGGAAUGAGUCACCCUUUCCACAUGUCAGGGAAAUUAUUGAAUCUGAAUGCCCAAUUCGCAAGAAGCUUUCACUCGGUUUUAACAAUGCAAAGGAAUCUAAAAUUGUCAUUAGGGGACAGGAACACUGGUGGAACGAGCUGCAAAGGAAGGAUGAAGCGACCGUUAAUGCUUUUCUUCCUUGUUUCGGUUCCAUUUGACAGGCAUCAACAUGGAUUUAUAUUUUGCGGUGGACAACUUGUGGUAAGUGCUUUUCCAUUUAUUACAUGUUUAUAUCUAACUUUUGUUUUCCUUUAUGGUUAAAUUUUACUAUAUGUAUGUUGUUAUACGGUGACAUUCUCGCAUCAAUUAUUAGCUUUUUAAUUCUCUUCUCUCAUCCAUUGCCCUUCUGAUCAUGUAGGAUAUGCCGAUGUCAAAGAGUAGUAAAUUGGGAUACAAAUCUAAGAAUUAGCCAGAUGACAUGUUGUUUUGAAGCUCUCGAAGAAGGACUAAUUAUGUCAUUCAAAGCAUCCAAUUUCGCUACUUUUUUUUUUUUUCAUUUGUUGCUUUUUCUAUUUUUAGAUAACUUGAUUGUCAGUUGUCGUAAUGUAAUGUUUUAGUGUAGAAAAAUGAUAUUCGGCCAAGACAUCGAUAGGAGGGCAGAUUGUGCAUGCACAGUAGUGGAUGAUUUCGGCAUGCCGAAUCCAAUUAGCGUGGAUAACCCUUUAUAAGCAUCAGGCUUCUCUCAUACCACAGCAAUGUAGAGUAUGUUUAUUAACUGUGGACUACCCUUUAUAAGUUUAGACUUCUUCUAUACUCGAGCGAUGUGGAAUACCUGUAUAAGCAUUAAGCUUCUCCCAUACAUUUUAUGUUAAAAAUAAAAAUAAUAAAAUAAAUCCAUUUUAAAAUAGGCUCUUUUUUUCUUUUUCUAUAUAAACAAAAUGCAUUCUUCAAAUCAAUAGUGGGUGGAAGAAGUGAGUAGAGAAGAACUAGGCCCCUUCAUUCCCCAAAAACCUCACCGAAACCUCUCUUGUGAACUUCUCAGAUUCUCUCUCAAUAUUUCUUAUGAUCUCGUUUUUGAUAGAAUCACUUCUACUGCAUGCUGCAUUUUGUGUGUCGUUUUUGGGUAAUAUCUUAUCUGGAAUGCUGUUAUGAUCAAUAGAACAAGUAAUCAAUUUUUGGUUUGAUGGAAGUCGAUUUAUUUAUUUACUAUUAUUUUUUAUUUGAAAUUUUGUACAAUUGUGUUUCAUUCAUUUCUUUCCUUCUUUUUUUAUUUUAUAUUUAUUAUGUAUAAUAGUGUUUCAUUUGAUAUUGAUCAUACUCUAGAUAACUAUGUGAUUGUAGCUGGGGAUUUUAAGUUUUGUGAAUUCAAGAAACUGUCAAAAUGCUAGUGAAAUUGAGACCUUAUUCAUAAGCUUGUGGUUUUCAAUAGUAGCCCGGUUCAACUGAUGAAGUUCCUUUUUGGGAUUCUUUUUUUUCUAGGCUGCAAUUCGGAUUUGUACCUGAUAGACAAUCUUUUGUGGGUUUAGCAUAUCUUCUCCGAUUUUGUCUUUUAUUCCCCAAUUUUACAGCUACACACCAUGAGUGCUGGGUGAUUGUGCAGAAAAUUUGUGUUAGAGCAAAAGCAUUGUGAAGGAGUUUCUGUGCUAUAAGUUAUUGGCUUCAGUUUUAUUGGCAUUAAUAGGGUAGAUUAUGUGCUACAGUGAUUCACUUUGUGAUCCACACUUUAAUUUUCUCUUUUCCCCAAUUAUUCAUAUCAAAUUCAAAUCCAGAGGCAUGUGCUGAUUUUUUCUUUUUGUAUUAAUUUGUGAAGUUUAUUUGGAAAGGAAGCAUCUGGGUCUAAUGGAUUAAAUUAUGACAUUGAGGAAAAGGCACUAAAGGUUUUGCUUGACACAUUUGGUCUGUGUUUACUCUGCAAUAAUAGCUUCGCUUAUCAGAAAUCCCUAUUUGGCUGGUGAAUUUCUCUGUGACAGACAGGCAAACACCUAAACCGCUUCUAUCCAUCUUUCUGCUGGUGAGGCAAUAAGGGGUAAAAAGUCUUCAAAAUCAUCAAAUAGUAACAUCUCUGAGAAUUCGUUUUAGAAAAAUGGAAAAUCUAGACCUACCAGGACAAAAUGGCGUCCGGAAUCAGGAGGUACCGUUUCAAGUUUUCUUGGUAAAGAAUAUAUUAAACCUGCGCAACCAGCUAAUGGCACUUUUCUUGCAUCAAAGCCAUUGAAGUUGGAUCUAAAGGAGUUUUCCCAUGUCUGCACUGUGCAGAGAAGAAACUAAACCAAAACAAUCAAAGAAUGACAUUUGCAGAAGGAUACGGAAGAUUUUCUAUUUAAAUUGUUAGGAGAAGGGUUCCAGCUGAACAGGGAUGUGAUUCAGGAGGUUCUCGGUAAUGUCUUAAAUAUACUGAUGCCAAUUUAAUACAUAUUGUCCUUUUCAAUGUUCUUUUUUUUUCUUUUUUUUUUCCCUUCUUCUUCUUCUUCUUCUUUUUUCUUUUCGUGUGCAUGUGAUCACUGAUUUGGUAUUACGCUUAAGUUGCAGAUAGUUGUGGAUUUGAUAUGCAAAAGGUAAGGACUAUACCUUCCUGAUGUAGGCCUUUGCUUUUUCCCCUUCUAUGUAAUUUAGUAAAUCGCAUCUUCCUUUGUGAUUGUUAUAUCAUAUCAAAGUCAAGUCUUAAAUACUGCUGUCAUAUGUUAAGGUUCAACUUGCAUUUUGAUUAAGAUCCAUUUGCUGCUGCUUCCAAAAGUGAGAAUGAGAUACUUUGGUUAAUUUCAGUGGUUGAACCCAAUAGAGAACUUUAUUUAGAUCUUCAUGGUUCAAAGGCCUGAAGAAACUUGCCCGUAAUUGUAAAAUGACAUUCUGUGCUUUUUAUGCAAUAGGGAACAGGGAAGUAGGCUUUGGAAAAGCCUGGAUUGAUAACUAUGGAGAGACUUAUUAUUUAAGUGAUGAAAAUUCCCAUCACACGAAAAAUUUCAGAUAGUUAAAGACUCCAUUUUGCUGCAGCCAAAAAUGUUUGUUUCAAUUGAAGACAUGAACCAUUUUCAUUGAACCUGAUUAUGAUCCUUUAUUGAAACGACCCGCCCCGAAUCUCUUCGGGCGAGUUAGUCUAGUCUCAUUAAAACAGACUUGAUAAUAAUCUAAUUAGUAAGGAUUCUGUCGAAAAUUCAGCAGAGUCUCCUUUAUAAGUAUAACACUCCUAAUAUGCAAUUAUGUAAGACAAGCACUCCCAAUAUAAUUCAAUAUACAACAAACUCCAGUGAUCAACAUCCUCAACCAAAAUGUUGAGUUUUAUAUUUCCAGAGUCUCAAAAGAUAAUAUUAUAACUAAUAUUAAGAUCUCAGUUUAUUCUUAAUCCCAAAAGAAUAAUAUAACAAAAUUAUACAACCCCAAAAGAACGAGAUAACCAAGAUGUCCUAAUAAAAACAUCUAUAUCUUCUAACACUAUCACGUGGCCAAGACUCAAAAUAUAUUUACAGUCGCUAGGUUGGUCUGGUGUACUUGCAACCUCCUGGUGAAGGGGGAAAUAUAAUAAAAACGGGGUGAGUUUAAAACUCAGUGAGAUCAAUGAGUGGAUAGUAAUUUUUGAAAAUUAAUCUUUACUUUAAAAAAAUAAUCAUAUCAUUUUCAAAUACGAUUUCAUCAAAUCAUAAGCGAGAAACCAGUAAUAAAUCAUUUAACAUUUAAACCAGAUUACUAACCAUGAAAAGCAUAUAUAUUAAUUAUAUGUAAUAAUCAUGGAAAUCAUAUCACAAUAUUAUAUAGAAUACAUAAGAAUGAAAAUCAUCACUAAACAAGUACCUAGGGAAAUAAUCUUGUCAUAUCUAGACCUCAACGGAUGGGCAAUGACGUACUAUCUGGAUACCGUCACGCCUCGGAGCUAUACGGAUAGACAGGGAAAUACCAUCUCAUAUCUCAUCAUAUAUGUGCAUGCAUAAUCUAGUGCCCAAAGGACAAAAGCGCCCAAACACACGACCCAAAGCCUUGGUGUGUACUAAGACGGGCCCCAAAGGCCUGUAUCUCAUCUGUAUCAUUUAUAUCUCAAUAUUUGUCUGUAUCUCAUAUUUGUUUCUCUGUAAUCAUCAUACCGCAUGCAUAUGCCCCCAAAAGACAAAAGCGCCCAAACACACGACCCAAAGCCUAUAUGUGUGUUCAAACGGGCCCCAAAGGCCUCUCAUCUCAUCUCGUCUGUAUCACUGUAUUUGGAGGGGAAGGGUACUGUUUAAUGAUUUUAAAAACAAUCAUUAUACUCAUAUUCACAUACCUUUUUAACCAUACUUUAAAUCAUACCACAUUUGAAUCAACUUUUCUUAUCUUUAAAAUAUUAUCAUGAUUAUUCAAAGUCGAAACGCAAAAUCAUUAACCAAACAUUUUAAUAAAAUACCAAUACGAGAAUAAAAUCCAUUUCGAGGGAAUCAUUAAAUCAGAACAUUUAAAAUACUUAUUUCACAAUCAUGCUUUACUAUCAUAAUUAACUAUGAAAAUAGGUUUUGUAUAUUCCACUCACAGUGACGGUGUUCACGCUCAAUUAUCGUCCACGUUCACGGACCAGUUCUUGCUCACGGAUCCUCCUAUAUCAAGGAAAUGACAUAAUUAUUUUUCAUAAAUUAGAAUUACGACUAAAUUUAUGCAAUAAACUCGAAACGAACAUUUAUCCAUAAAUUUACAACUCCCACGUCGAUAAAAUUUCUAAAAUGCCAUCGAGUCCGUAAAUCAUUAAAAUACUCUGAAAUCGUAAAUCACUGAAUUACCCUUGGAAUCGUAAUUACACCCAGUCCUCAAUUCUAGGAAUUACUAAAAUAUCCACAAGCUCAGAAAUUACAAAAUUGCCCUUAUAGUGUGAAAUUACCGAAAUGCCCUUGCCGGUCGGGUUGACAGCUUCUCUCUCUCCCUCUCUCACAUGUGUGUCUCUGUUUUGCUCUGUUUUCCAGCUUCCUCUUUUACUUAUUCUAACUUUUUUAACCGCCUCAUUUUAUUCAUUUAUUUAAUUCACAUAUGUUACAUUUACGUUAUGCAUGUUCCUCUAAAUCAAGAAAAGUUGAGGUCAUGAUUCUAUAUUUCUAUAUUGUAACUUGAAAUAAUAAUUGGUCUACUUGUUUCUGUAUCUUGAUAAGAUGAAUUUUCCUUCUCAAGUUAAUUUGAUCAAUAAAGUAAUUCUUCAAAGAAAAUAUGCCCAUUCUACAAUCAUUAUCUUAGCUAAGAUGUUUUUUCUUCACUCUUCAGAGCAUGUUAAAACUAAUUGAUCGCUUGGCAGAGACUUUGGGUGAGAAGACAAACUUUCUUGGUAAAUCCUCGGAAAAGGUAUGCAUAAUUCCCGAGUAUUAAAUAACCAAUAGUCAUAAUUUUUGUACAUGACUCUUUUUUCUCUUUUUUGUGGAGAUCAUUAAAAUUGGUUCAUGAUCCAUUUUGUAAUAUCAUAGAGGGAUCAUCAAUUCCUUCUCUUUUCUGUGGCUAGGCAACACUUUCAGGCCAAAGUAAGAAAAUCUAUUUUUGGUAAUGUGAAAACCAACGGUAGGAUGUAAUAGUCUAUUAUGCACUGACAAUAACUUUUUGUAUGAUUGGCAGUUUAAUGAAUACAAGAGGAACUGAGUUGACAAAUUCAUCCAAGAUAGAUGCUAAAAUUAUUUAUGCAUGCCAGUUGCCUUAACUAAUUUUUCUUAACACUUGUACUGAACAGGAAAAUGAAUAAGCAAUUUUUAUAUUGUGCCAUUGUGGAGUAUUUGGAAAAUCUUAUUUAAGUAACAAGGAAAAUACAGCAAUUUGUAUAUUGUGCCAUUGUGGAGUAUUUGGAUAUUCUGAUUUAAGUAACAAGGAGAAUACUUGCCUCAUCUUUAAACAAUGAAUCUUUGAGAAAUGAGGAGUGGGGGAUUGGAAGUGUCUUCAUGUAAAUGUUCAUUUAUUUGUAUUUUGAACUAUUAGGAGAAUCUAAUAUGCCAAAUCAGUAAUACAAAUGUUCAGAUGAUUUUUCCUGUUGAUCAUGCAUUUGUGUCUGCACACAACCAUUGUAUAUCACUUUAUUCUGAUGUGCAGGUGUGUGUAGCUUAGAAGAAACGGAAUAAUAAUCAUCUAUUAUUGCUUGGUUCAUGAUUAUUAAACGAUUAUGGCUUUAAAAAGUCUACAAAUUCCUUCUGUUCAUAUACGAAUGUGCAGAUUUGUUAUUAAUAUCUGGUCCCCUGUUAUUAUGAUUUCAUAAACAGUGUACGGAUAUGUGCUCUAACUUUGGAGGACCUCCACGUGAAAGAAAAUUGCAACAAUUGAAUUCUUCCGGAGGGUAUGGUCUUUAAUUUAUUUUCUCAACUUCUCGUAAGAUUAAUAUAUUUCAUUCAGUAGGCACAGCAUGGGUUUGUUUUGGAAAGGGGGUGGAGGGAUUUCUCAUCCAUAUAUGGUUACUUGAUGAGCUUUUGACUGUAUUUCCUCAGUCGUGUAAAGGAAGAUCGAAAUACCCGAAAGACAGAAAUGAGCUACAGAAGCAAGUUUUAGCUGCUUUAUUUAGUGCUCCUGAGAAAUCUGAGGGAGACCGAAUGGAGGUCCAAAGCAUUGGGAAAGGUAGUGAGUGAACCGCCGGAGGAGUUGGCACCAGAAUGCAACGCUAAUGUGGUGCACUUGCAGCAAGAUAACCAAACCGGUAUGUGCUCUUAUAUUAACUAUACUGACUGGAUUUGUGAGUGUGUGCAUUUUUUUGUGUAUACUCUUGUAUUUAUGCAUAUUAAUGUGUGUAGGAAUUUCUGCCACUUACUGGAGAACUAGUGGAAAGCUUUAUACCGAUAUAUCUGCAAUAACUAAUUGGAAACUAUGAUAUUAAUAUUUUCUCUCACCUGAGGAACUGUGUAACAGAUAUGAUAUGAAUAUUUUAUCUCAACUGGAGAACUUUGUAACUUGUAGCUCUGGAAUGUCUAAGGAAUUUUGUCUGCUUCAGUUAGAUCAAAUAUCUUUUAGUUGCAUACAUUAUAGAAAAAGAUAAAGUUCUCUGAAUCUGAAAGACUGAAACAUUUUGUAUAUUUUGUGAAAGGGAAAUAUCUGUAGAUACUAGUUCAUGCAUUGAGGUAACAUCAAUGUUAAAGAAAAACAGCAAUAAGUUAUUAUGUGGAACUAGGUUCACUUGCUUUAAAUGCUGGUCUGGUCAACCAUAUGAACCUGUAAGUUCUGCAGAAAUAUAAAUACGGGGAGAAACUAGCUAAAUUUUCCGUUCAUUAUUCAGCUUAUUAUUCAGCUUUCCUUCUCCUGAAGUAUGUUAACAACUGCAGAUAAAGGCGAAGAGGACAGCUUGCGGGCUCUUCUUAGAGCCAUGAUGGAAUAUAGGGGCACAAUGAAGGAACAUUGUAAAGCUGUAGGUUCUUUUUCUCCUGUCAUUUAUGUUUUCUCACACAUUUUUUAUAUGCUCCAAGCAUGCAAUUUUGUAUGUGUCAACUGCUUUCUAAGUUUUAAAAGCCAUAAUACAUUUUUUAUAUGCUCCAAGCAUGCAAUUUUGUAUGUGUCAACUGCUUUCUAAGUUUUAAAAACCAUAAUGUAAGAAUACAGUUCUUUGUCAGGUUAUUGAUGCAUUUGCUCAGGGGAAUCAUGUUCGAGCAGGAAAACUUCUAGAACAGAAAAGGUUUUCCAUCUACAGCCAUCUAUUGACAACAGAUACAUUAUCAUUCAGCAAACACUGUUAGCAUUCAAGAUACUGGCAGAUUCACUUGAUUCUUAUUAGUUUGUUUAGUAACAAAGCAUAUAACCUGUAUUUCAAAGCCAAGUUGUGCUAUUGAUUAUGUUAACUUUAUUGUUCACAUAAAGUGAUAUGGAGGAAAUAAUCAAUGUAGGAAAAUUAGGUGAAGAGAUGAUGUCAAAUCUUGAACCUCUUACAAAACUCCAAGUUCUUUACAUGAAGAAGCUACAAAAUUUGAACAGGGUCCACUGGAAGGCCUUGCCAUUCCCUGAUGCAGGCAUAAUUUUUGUAUUUAAAUGCCCAGAGCUUAAGAAGCUGCCACUGGAUCUUGAAAGGGCAGGCCAAGGUAAAAUUCUUAUCAAGGGAAAGGAAGAUUGGUGGAAACAACUUCAAUGGGAGGAUCAAGUAACUCCGAAUGCAUUGCUUCCAUUUUUAAAAUCAACUGACAAGUGAUUGAAGGGGGCAUCAUCAACAUCAUCAACAUGGAUGGAGAGAUUCUGGAGCAGAUCAGCCGGGUUUAGUACGAUCUGUGGUGGUUUCUUUUUUGUGACUUUUUUCCCUUUCAUUUUUUCACUUCCUGUCAUAUUGUCAUUUCUUUGUCUCUGUUUCUAUUGCUGGUGUUUCUGCAUGCUUGCUGUCCUUGACAAAGUUAGCAAGAUUUUUUUGUUUAUUAAAUUUUGUAUGUUCGGGACAAUCACAAAGUACUACUUGUUCUAUAUGGGGGUGAUGUGAAUCAACUUUUCAAUUAUAUAUUCUGUGGUAAUUGUGAAUUCAAUUUCAUUUGUCUCCAGCAAAUUAUGAAGAAAGUGCAGAGUUACAAUAUGGAAAAGUUCACUGGCAAAUACUUGGUAAAAGCUUCGGAGUGAAACAGGGAGUGCACUUGCAACUAAGGACAAAUUGGUGGCCAGCUAAUGCAUUCAUUUUAUUUACAUUCAUCUUUUUAAUUAUUGAAGAUAAGUGAUUCGUUGCUUUUGUUGUAGAUAAAAUUCAGACGAUCUCGAUUGUGAAAUGACAAUAUUUAAAAUAUCUCUUAGAUUAUAAUAAACUUUAAUUUAUCUUAAUUUUAUUUAGAAGAUAAAAGAAAAAUGUGGUAUAUCGAUAAAAAAAUUUUAUCUUCUUAAUAAAACGAAGUAAAUUAAAAUUUACAAAAAUUAUUGUAAAGAUUAUUAUUUCAUAAGAGAGUAAUAUGAAAUUAAUCCUUUUUACUUUUUGAAUAUGAAAGGCCAAGAAAAGAGAAAGCAAGUGUCCCUGCUUUUUAUUUUAAUUGAAAUCGGAGUCAUCCCAUAUACUUUACUACUUUAGCAAGUAUAGCAGCCCUUUUUACGGUAAUGAAGUGAAAAUUAAUUUAGCAAGAUAUUUUCUUAAUUUAUACUUUCUUUUUGAAGUUUUUAUUUUCUAUGGUCAAUUAUACCGUUUACAAUUUCUUUUGAUCUCACUAGAACUAAAUUUUUGGUUUAAGGAUUCUUAUUUGGGAGUAUUAAUAUGCGAGCGAAUGCUUGGAUACUGCUCAAGGAUAUCUAAUCAAUAGCUGGAAACAAUCGAGAAGGCGGUCGCAGCUGUGCACAAACAGCUUUGGUAAAAUUUUUAAACAGAGUUGACAUGCUAUUCUGAGAUUUGGUUCAUUACUUUGUAUGAUUUUUUCUCAAGCAUGUUAUGCCGAAAUGAACAAUUAAAAAAAGAAGAAGGAAAAGUUAGGCUAAAAUUUUUACUAAAUCAUUUUUUAUUAACUAUUUAUAUUAAACAAAUGGAACAAGAAUUGUAAUGAUUCAUCAUAAGCAUGCUAAUAUGAUAAUUCUCUGACUAUCAUUUUCUAUUUACCCCUUUUGCAGCAGGUAAUCCAAAUUUUGAAUUGUCCAAUGAUCCACAAUCAAUCCAACGGUCCAAAACGUUUGGUCGUUAUGCGAAAAUUUUUCCCAAUUUUGGGCCAAUAUUCUAACAAGUUUUAUUGAAGGGCUGGAUUAUUGGCACCCCUCUAAAAUUUCUUUAAAACCCCUUUUCUAUUACAAUUACAUUUAAAGAUAAAAAUAAUUACCAAUUCAUCUAUUUUAAUAUUUUAUCCCUCUUCAAAGUUUUUUAUUUUCUUCCCAUAAAAAAUUUUCCCUCAAAUUCUCUGUAUUUUUGUUUUAUUCAUUUAUUAACAUAUUCUUUUUAUUAUAACAAAUCCAAUUUUUCAAGCAAAAUUAUAGUACAAUAUUGAUUGUUGUUUGCUUUAUUAGAAGUGACUUUUUAGCUGAGGAAAUAAAAACUGUAUAUUUGGUUUCUUCUAACUGCUCGUUGACAAUAGUCAUGGCAUCCUGCACAUUUCUAGUGACUUCCUUUAGUAUGUUCUGCUUCUACCUCAUUAGUUCCAAAUAGCUUCUGUUAUCCCAUGCGUACUUCUUAAAAAUAACUUCUGCUAUUUUUUUAAUUAAUUAUUUGAAUCUUGGAGUUUUCUUUUUUAUCUUUUCCACAAUUUUUCAUUCGGAUUUAUUCAUAAUCAUACUAAAACUCUUUACAUCAUAAUUCUAAAGAUAUUGAAUCUAAUUCACUAAUUUGUAUUAAGAAGUUUAUCGCAUAAAUUUUGUGUGGAGAUUGAUUUAAUAAGACUCUAAAAUAAUUUUAGAACCAAGAAAAUAUUAAGAAAUCGAAAGAUUAACAAAUUAGAAAUAAGGGUAAUUCUGACAUUAAAUGAAAUAUUAGGGACAAAGGAGUUUUUAGAGGAUUUUAAUGGGGUGCCAAUAGUUCAACUCUUUAUUGAAAUAAAAGGGAGAGGAUCGUUAAAUUGAAAAGUCUAUUUUAUUAUCAAGUGUUUUAAAUUAGUGCAACGUGACAAUUUAUACUGAUGAUAUCUUCUAUUUUUUUCAUAUAAAAUUAAUGUUAUUUUACUUAUAAAUAUAAACUCCUAAAUAUUUGUAGUAGAUUUGAAGUUGAGCCCAUGAAACGGUAAUGAGGAUUUAAUGAGACUGAGGGUGCGUUUCGGAUUGAGGUGUUGUAGCUUAAGCUGUGAAAAAAAAGUUGUGAUUAUGAAACAAAAGUUAAUAAUAUAUAGUAAAUAUAAAUUUUAAAUAAUAAUUUUGAUAAAAUUAUUAAAGAUAUAAUAGAUUUUGUAUUAUACAAGUGAAAAAUCAUAUCAAUAUAACUUAAAAGCUACAGCAGUUAGUGUUUACCAAACACUUUAGUGCUGUAGCUUUUAAGCUACAGUUGCCCAACCUCAAUCCCAAACGCACCCUGAGGAUCUGCAAUUUAAUCUGAGCUUAGGUGUAGAAUUAAAGUUUGAAAUGAAUUUACUGUGUUAUAAAUCAAUUUUUACAAUGUUGUAAACUGAUUUAUGAUAUUAUAAAUCCAUCUUAAAUUUUAAUCUCAUAUUCUAAGUUUGGAUCUAAUAAACACUCCCUCUGAUUAUGUUGUCUAUAAUUUUGCAUUCAAAGAAACUUCACGAAAAAUAUAAUAUCAUGUGUAGCCCUAUAAACUUUAAUAACAAUAAAAAAGAUAUAAUAAGAAAACUCAUAAUUGUUCAGAUAUUUAUAAAUUGGUGGCCGUUGGAAAUUUAACUGCAAGUGCCAAUCCGACAAAAGUCGUCGUGCACAAAAGACUUUUAGCCAUACGUUCUUCCAAGUCAAAUGAAACAGGGGAUGUACAAAGAAUAAGACAUGUCAUUCAUUGUUUGUUUGCUGCAUUCCCUCUCAUUUUCUUAAUUAUUGAAGACAGGUUGCUCAUAGCAUGUACUUUUCAAAUGUGGAACCGCAGCUAAUCUCACUAUUUUAAUUUGGAAUUAAAUUAGGGCCCAUGUAUAAAAUUUAUAACAUUAUAUUGCAGNNNNNNNNNNNNNNNNNNNNNNNNNNNNNNNNNNNNNNNNNNNNNNNNNNNNNNNNNNNNNNNNNNNNNNNNNNNNNNNNNNNNNNNNNNNNNNNNNNNNNNNNNNNNNNNNNNNNNNNNNNNNNNNNNNNNNNNNNNNNNNNNNNNNNNNNNNNNNNNNNNNNNNNNNNNNNNNNNNNNNNNNNNNNNNNNNNNNNNNNNNNNNNNNNNNNNNNNNNNNNNNNNNNNNNNNNNNNNNNNNNNNNNNNNNNNNNNNNNNNNNNNNNNNNNNNNNNNNNNNNNNNNNNNNNNNNNNNNNNNNNNNNNNNNNNNNNNNNNNNNNNNNNNNNNNNNNNNNNNNNNNNNNNNNNNNNNNNNNNNNNNNNNNNCAGAAAGAAAUGCUGUAUUUAAAAAAUGGAAAUAACUUCAUGACAACAAAAAUUAGGAAAAAUAAUAUAAACCAAAUUAGGAUAAAUAAUAUCAUUUUCUAGAGAAGCAGGCAAAAAUGGAAAAUGAUAUUUCAAUUCUUCAAGAUCCCAAAUCUCUGUUUCUAAAUUUUCAUUCACUUUGCUUCUCGCAUAGAAUCAUUUGGUAUUAAUAAAAUUUUUACUUAUUAAACAAAAGUUAAAAAAAAAAUUAUAUUCCUGCUGUUAAUCUAUGAAUGGUUUCAUUGUUUGAGUUUCUUUCAGAAGACAAGAAUACUUUGGUUAAGUGUUUGGCUAAGUACUAAAUUAGAGGUUGUUAGAGAGAAGAAAUUAAAAAAAAAAAAAAAACCUAACCCUUUAUUCAGUGUUUAAUCAGCAAAUAUUCAACCCAACAUGAAUCUUAAUCAUCUUUAAAAAAUAUUUUAUUCAAUUUUCUAAUGAUAUUUAUGCAGGUACUAGAAGUUAAAACCCUACUUACAUGAAUGCGUGGCCAUCGGUCCAAUUUUUUUUUUUUUAAAAAGAGAAAAUAAAUGUAAUCCAUUCCAGUGAUACCUCCAAUUAUCAUUGAUGACUUUUCUUACUCUAAUGCUAUGUCAAUUCCAACAAUUAUAUGUUAAUAUAACAUAAUCAAUUAUUUGGAUAAUUGAUGACUUUUCUUACUCCAAUGCUAUGUCAAUUAUAACAUUUGUAUUAGGGUUGUUUGUAGAUUGAAUUUUGCUGAUUGGAUAUCAAUCUAUAUCUCAUUCACGAUUUUACGAAUUAUAAAUUUUCAAUUCAGCCCAAUCCAUGAAUUGGUAAAACUUAAUCUAAAUCUAAUUCAUACGUCUGCUGAUCAGAUUCAGAUUUGACCCAAUCUAUAUCCAAUCCGCCAUUUGCGGACUAAAAAAUUUUAAUUCUCUCCAAUUCACAAACUAACUAAAUAAAUAAAAAUUUAAUAUAAAAAUAACUUUACUAACGAUCAAAGUUAAAAUUAAAUAAUAUUUAAAUAGAUUAAUUGUUUAAAUAAAGUUAGAAAAUACAUUCAAAUUUUCAAAAUAUAACACAGUAAAAAGAAAAAAUCUCAUUUGUUUAGACCUACGUAUGAAAAUUAAUUGUUUAGGAAGCUAUAUUUAUUUUUUGUUUUAAAUAAUAUGGUGUUAAUGUAACUAUAUUUUAAUUUAUUUAUUUAUAUGACCAAUGCUAUAUUUACAAGUUUAAUUUUUUAAUUAAAUAAUUAUUUUUUUUUGCGGAAUUGCGGAUUUUUGCAGAUUUACAAAAAUAAAUCUAUAUCCAAUCCACCGACUGUGGAUUUUCAAAUUUUCAAAUUUUCAAUCCAAUCCAAUCCACCAAUUCACAAAUUCAGAUUUUUACGGAUUAGAUUUGUACAGAUCAAACGAAUUGAGCAGACCAUAUUUGAUUUUGAACAUUGCUAAUUUGUAUGUUAAGUAUAACAUAAUCAAUUAUUUGGAUAAUCCCUUGUGUUUUAUCUCUAAUUAUAGCAUGAAUCUUCACAAUAUCUACAAUGCUACAAUGGCUACAAAGCAAAACCUGCUUGCAAAUUGUCAAAGAUACUUAUCCUUUCGCUUGACAAGUCAUUUGGAAAAAUAUUGUCCCUUGGCGGCUCCAUGACUUCUCUGCCCCUCCUUUUGGUCUUAAUGUACGGUUGCAUACUGAUAGUUUAGGCCCUUUAGGGACUACUUUCCCUGGUGUUGUUAAGUCUUAGCUUGUGCUAGGCUUGUUUUUCUUACCAAAAGAAAAUGAAUAGUUAUCCUAUAAGAAAUAAUCUUUAUAUAUAGGGUGGUUGGAUUCACUUGUUUACAUAACAGAUCAAUUAAUUCUCUAUAAGUAGAGAGUUUCUAGUAUAAGAGAAACGGUAGAUCUAUUGAGAGAUUAUGUAUUAUUAGAAUUUUGGUUGUGAAGAAAAGUACUAGAGUGAUUGUGUUAAUUUUUUACAUAGUGGAUUUUUCUAUCGUCAUCUUUAUGGCUGUGAUUUUUCUUCCAUAUAGAAGUUUCCCACGUAAAUUCUUAUGUUGUGUGAUUAGUUUUAUUCUCUAUCUAUUUUUUGUUUAUUUUGUUUAAUAUUUUAUUUGUAAGAUGCUGGAUGGGAUUAAAAUUCCUUAACAAAUAACGGAUUAAAAAUCAUGAAGAAAAAGCUCAAGAGAUGAUAUAUGGGAGCGGGUUGAUUUAGUAAAAAUGGGUGUCCCUCUUCCUAGAUCAGAAAACAGCACAUCCAAAGUGAUAUUUACAAACCCGUUCUGAGGAAGUUUGCAGCUUAAUGGAAGCUCGUAGGAGUUUUAAAGUGGCGUGCUUAUCAAAUAAAGAUGCUUGGGAAUUGUUUCGAUACAAAGUUGGGGAAGAAACUUUGAACAAUCAUCCUGAUAUCCUUGAGAAAGCGCACUAGUUGUUAAGGAGUGUGGUGGUUUGCCACUUGCACAUUUUACCAUCGGCCGAUCUAUGGCAUGCAAGAAGACACAGCCGAAGAAUGGAGAUAUGCUAUUCAAGUGUUCACUUCGUCCGCUUCCCGUUUCCAGGUCUGGAAGAAGGGAUAUAUACUCUUGUAAAAUUCAGUUAUGAUAGUUUACCCAAUGACACAAUUACACCUUGUCUGUUAUAUUGUAGUUUAUAUCCAGAAGAUUGUUGCAUUUCUAAAGAGAAUUUGGUAGAUUGUUAGAUCAGUGAAGGAUUUUUUAAUGAAAGUGAUUGGUUUGGAGAAAAAAUCAAGGAUACUUCAUUUUGGGCAUUCUUCUUCAUGUUUUUUUUUGGAAAAGGGAGGAGAUUGUGAAGUGAAAAAUGCAUGCAUGACGUUAUUCGUGAAACGGCUUUGUGGACCGCAUGCGACUAUGAGAACGAGAAGGAGAACUUUUUGGUUUACGCUGGUGUUGGUUUAACUAAGGUACCGGAUAUUAGAGAUUGGGAAAAGGUGAGGAGAUUGUCAUUGAUGAAAAAUAAAAUUGAGAAUCUAUCUGAGGCUCAUACAUGCCCUCAUCUCCUCACUUUCUUUCUUGACGAUAAUGAGUUUCGGAAGAUCCCCGGUGAUUUCUUCCAGUUUAUGCCUUCUCUCACUGUUUUAAACUUGUCACGUAUUAAACUAAAGUUAGUUCCUUUAGGGACUUCAAGGUUGGUUCCACUACAACAACUCGAUCAUUCAUAUUCAAGCAUAAAAGAAUUGCACGAAGAGUUAAAUGCCCUGAUUAAAGUUAAAUGCUUGAAUAUAGAUCAUGUAGAAGAGCUAAUUACAGUUCCACAACAACGGAUAUUUAAUUUUUAAGGUUAUAUGAGUUGAGAAUGUUCGAUACUAUUAGUUUAAAUUUUCAAGAAGCAUUAAAUAAAACAGCAUUUUAUUUGGUGGGGAGGAAGUUUAAGCAGAGGAGUUGCUCGGUUUGGAAUAUUUGGCGGUAUUGAGCUUCACUUGAGAAGUGUUCGUGCUCUCCAAUUUAUUUUGAGCUCACAUAAGCUACGAAGUUGUACUCAAGCGCUGUUCCUCCAAUCCUUCAAUGAUUCGAUAUGGCUUGAUAUUUUGGCAGAGUUAAAAGCACCACUACAGAUUUAAGUAUUUUUGGGUGUAGAAAAUUGGAGGACUUGAAGAUGGAAUAUACAGGGGGAGCGAAAAACAAGCGGCAACCUUGUGUUUUCUAAGGCCUACAUACAAUUCACAUAGAGGUUUGUUCUGAAUUGAAGGACUUAACAUUCCUUGUUUCUGCUCCAAAUCUCAAGAACUUGUAAAUACAAAAUUGCCCUGCUGUGGAAGCAAUCAUCGGUGUGGGAGAAUUUGCGGAAACUCUAGAGGUGGUGGAAAAUCUAAACCCAUUUGCAAAACUCCAGUAUCUUGGACUAGAAAAUCUGCUAAUGUGGAGAGCAUCUAUUGCAAGUCUCUGCCCUUUCAGAAAUGACUGUGGAUAGUUGCCGUUGUCUUAAAAAGCUUCCUCUCUACUCCAACAGUGUAAAAGAGUGGACAAUUGUUAUUUCAUCAUUCGGAGAAUUAAUGGUGCAAUGAGAUUUAGCAGUUAACUCUCGUGGGAAGAGCUUGAAUGGGAAGACGAAGCCGCUCCAAUUGCUUUUCAUUCCUGUUUCAAAUCUCUGAUCGGAUUGGAGAUUGCAUUUCGCCUCAGGUUCGUGCUUUUCUUGAAUUUUUCUCGUUAACUUCAUUUGUUCAUUUAUCCAUUUUUUUUAAGGAAUCAGAAGGGUUAAUAUUUUUGGUUGUGUUAGGUCGACUUCUAAUCACGAGGCAGAAGGAGUUGAGAUGAAGUUUAAUUUUGGUGGAGAAAUUGUUUGAUUUAAAAAAUUUAAAUGAGUUGACCAUCAUUCUUUAGCAUAUUUGUAUGAACAGGAGUGUGAAAAUAUGCAAACUGUCCAGCUGUAUGUGUAUAACGUAAUAAUUUUGAGGAGUUAAAACAUUGAAGAAUAUUGAUGUUUCCAUUGUCAGACCAAAUAUACUUAAUUACUUGAGGAUAACGAUUACUGCUAAUACGUUUGCAAAGAAAAAACAUGCCUAUUGAAAAACUCAUCUUAUUAGCAACAGUAUUAUAAGUAGUAUCCAAUCAUAGUUUCAUGCAAGAUUUUGAGAUUUUUCAAAUGCUGAUUCCGGGAAUGGAGAUUAAUAGAUAAUGGAGACAGGUUGACUGCUAUGGCUAAUUGUAAGAGGGAAUUUUAGUCGUAAAAACUGACCAACUAGCAAAGCAAAUUCCAAAUCUUGGAAUGAAGCAGCAAAAAAACGAAACAAACAAAUGGCAAGAGGAAGUGACUAUACAAUAAUAACAUCGACUUGCAAUUCAACAUUUAUACAGUUUUACACACCAAGAAAGGAAAAAAUUACAAUAGAAAUUUGGCCACUAAAAGGUGCUCGUUCAUGCUUAUGCCUGUCAUAUGGAUUUGAAACAAGGAGUAAAAGCAUUUAGAGUGGCUUCAUCCUUCCACUGCAGCUCAUUCCACCAGUGUUGCUCUCACCUAAUAACAAGUUUUCGUUCCUUGGCGCUGUUGUAAUCGAGUGGAAGCUUCUUGAGGUUCGGGCAGCCAGAUACAAACAAUUCCAAGAGAUUUGGAAAGGGCAAUGCAUUCAAACAGAUCUUCUUCAAAUUUCUUAGAACUUGCAACCGAAGAUAUUGGAGUUUCGCAAAAGGUUUUAGCCCUGGAACUUCUUCGACUUUCCAAACACUGAUUAUUUCUUCCAUCUCAUAACAACGUUCUACAUGGACCAUCUUCAGAUUUGGGGCAAAAACAAGCCAUGUCAUCUCCCUCAAUUUACUGCAAUAGUCUAUGGUAACACUUUGAAGGCUGUUGAAACCAUAAAGUUCUCUUGUUGUUUGAACUUCUGCAUAGUCAACCUUUAGCUCUUCCAAACUUGUACAAUGCACAAAAUCUAGUUUGUCAAGAUACUUGAGAUCUGCUAUGGACAAAAUAUUCCAUGACCUUGAAUCCUCACAGCGGCGAAGCUCUAAAGCAUAUUUACAACUCUUGUACUCUUGGCAACGUAUUUGCAAAUAUUCGGAAUGGACAUUUUAGAAAGAAAAAAAAAGUAAAAGAAAAUGACUAAAAAGUAAAAGAAAAUAGACACCCAAUUGUAAUUACGAGUACAAUAGAAGGAAUGCAACACAAUACCGAUUUUGCAAUCGCUGAAGCUUAUUCACCCUAUGAGGGCUGAUCAGGUGGGGGCCGUCGCUCUCCUUACACUCUUAUAGAGAGUUAUAGUCCAUGAUCUCAUUGGGAGAACUAGCCAAGUGGGCAAUCGCUCCACCUGAUCAAAAUUCUUCAUCUUAUAAUAAUAUCUUGAGUAGGCCUUCAAUUUUAAUCUUUAAAAGGUAGAAGAGGUGAAAAAGUUAAAUAAUAUUUUUGUCCUCCUAUAUAACAUUUUUUGAAAAUCACUCGAUCUUAAAACUUAAUUAAGAAAAUAUGAUAGAUUUUUAAGUUAGUGGCCCUUAAAAUUUAUGUGUAAGAAACAAUUAGAGAAAAGUCGUCAUGCCCAAAUGACUUACUAAAAGUCUGCAACUCGUCAUGACCAAAAUUCUUCCGAGUGUGAAAUACGGCAUGCGCAGAUGCAUUAAAAACAAAGGCCAGCUAUGAUAAUCUUUGUAUACUUGCAUUCCCUAUCAUCUUAUUAAUAAUUUCAGACGCGUCGUUCGUUGCCUGUGACUUUUCAUAUGCAAAAGCGGAGUCAGUGUUACUUGCAUUCCCUGUCACCUUAUUAAUAAUUUCAGACACAUCGUUGGUUGCCUGUGAUUUUCAUAUGCAAAAGCACAGUCAGAAUUACAAUUUACAUUUGGAAUUGAGUGCCAUCUAUUUAUUCCAGCUGGAUCUAAAAUGAUAUUGCAGUAUUGCACUGACUUUUUAGUCACAGCGUUUCUCUAUGAAUUCCUUAAAGUUUAGACCCAUCAUGGAAUAAUUAUUUUCUUAAAGACCAAAUUCACAUAAUUCUUAAAUCAUUUACAAAACAACAUUUAUCAUAUAACAGAUCGUACAUGAAUAAAUUUACCUUGAACCGUAGCAAACAAACAAGAAUCUCAACCACAUCAAUAUCAUAAUCCCUUCUGACCUUAACAAUAAUUUUAUUCGUCCUUAAUUCAUAGGUAUAAGUAUCCCAAUAUAUACUUGAUGUCAACCUUUACAAUUCUUUACAGAAUUGCAGCAGACCAAAUUUGUAUGCAAAACUGAAAUCAUACAGUAAUUGAAUACAGUGAAAAUAGACAUGAUGGGAAUUAGUAUAUAUAAAUAUCUUAAUAAUUUAAAAGUUUCUUAAACUGAUUUUACAUAUCUUGAAAAAUUAUGAUGUUUCCAUUGUCAAACCAAAUAUACUUAAUUACUUGAGGAUAAUGAUUACUGCUAAUACAUUUGCAAAGAAAAAACAUGCCUAUUGAAAAACUCAUCUUAUUAGCAACAGCAUUAUAAGUAGUAUCCAAUCAUAGUUUCAUGCAAGAUUUUGAGAUUUUUCAAAUGCUGAUUCCGGGAAUGGAGAUUAAUAGAAAAUGGAGACAGGUUGACUGCAAUGGCUAAUUGCAAGAGGGAAUUUUAGUCGUAAAAACAGACCAACUAGCAAAGCAAAUUCCAAAUCUUGGAAUGAAGUGGCAAAAAAACGAAACAAACAAAUGGCAAGAGGAAGUGACUAUACAAUAAUAACAUCGACUUGCAAUUCAACAUUUAUACAGUUUUACACACCAAGAAAAGAGAAAAUUACAAUAGCAAUUUGGCUACUAGAAGAUGUUCAUUCAUGCUUAUGCCUGUCAUAUGGAUUUGAAACAAGGAGUAAAAGCAUUUAGAGUGGCUUCAUCCUUCCACUGCAGCUCAUUCCACCAGUGUUGCUCUCCCCUAAUAACAAGUUUUCGUUCCUUGGCGCUGUUGUAAUCGAGUGGAAGCUUCUUGAGGUUCGGGCAUCCAGAUACAAACAAUUCCAAGAGAUUUGGAAAGGGCAAUGCAUUCAAACAGAUCUUCUUCAAAUUUCUUAGAACUUGCAACCGAAGAUAUUGGAGUUUCGCAAAAGGUUUUAGCCCUGGAACUUCUUCGACUUUCCAAACACUGAUUAUUUCUUCCAUCUCAUAACAACGUUCUACAUGGACCAUCUUCAGAUUUGGGGCAAAAACAAGCCAUGUCAUCUCCCUCAAUUUACUGCAACAGUCUAUGGUAACACUUUGAAGGCUGUUGAAACCCUACGGUUCUCUUGUUGUUUGAACUUCUGCAUAGUCAACCUUUAGCUCUUCCAAACUUGUACAAUGCACAAAAUCUAGUUUGUCAAGAUACUUGAGAUCUGCUAUGGACAAAAUAUUCCAUGACCUUGAAUCCUCACAGCGGCGAAGCUCUAAAGCAUAUUUACAACUCUUAUACUGUUGGCGGCUCAAAAGUCUUCGUAGAGCAUAAAAACUUCUUAACGUGACGCUUAAUACAUUUAAAUGUUCCAAAGUAAUCAACUCCUCUACCAAAAUUUCACUACCACCAAAUAGAACGCUAUCUUCUGGAACUGUAUCGGCAGAGCCACAAUCUAGCAUCCUCAACACCUUUAACCCAGAAAAAUUACAAAGCAGUUGCCGUGGAAUCGUAUGGAGAUAACGCAUGUACUCCAAGUUCAAACACUUUAGAUUUUUCAAGGCCUUUAGUUCAUGUGGCAACUCUUUGAUGAAAGUUUCUGAAAGAUUAAGAUAUUGUAGUGAAACCAAUUUUGAAAUUCCUGAAGGCAAUUGACUCAAGGAGCGAUUCUUUGAUAGGUUUAAAACUUUAAGAGAAGGCAUAAAAUCGAAGAAAUCACUAGGGAUAGUAUCUAACAUAUUAAUUCCGAGGAACAAAGUUAUAAGAUGAGGGCAUAUUGGAGUUAUUGGUAAAAUCACAAUUUUAUUUCUCAUCAACGGUAUCCUUCUCUUAUCUUCCCAUUUUUUAACCUCGGGUGGUUCAGUUAAUUCAAUACCGGCAGAAACCAAAAAGUUUUCAUUCUCCACUUCACAGGCUAUCCACCAGGUCAUAUCACGAAUCACAUCAUGCAGUUUUACAUAAUCUGAUCCUGCUUCUUCCAAUAGGCAUGCAUGAACAAGAACACCAAUAAUGCAGUAUCCUUGGUUAUGUACUCCAUUAAUUCCGUCAUUUUCCUUCAGAAAACUCUCACCAAUCCAACACUCUAUCAACUCAAUUUUGCUAAUUUGAUAAUCCUCAGGAAACAAACUACAGUAUAACAAACAAGAUCUAAGGACAUCGCUAGACAAACUAUCAUAACUGAAUUUUAAAAGACGAAACACCUCUUUCUCCAUACCUGGAAAUUCAUAAGCUGAUCUCCUUAACAUCUGAAUUGCAUAGCUCCAUUCUUCGGGUGUCUUCUUGCUGCUCAUGGCACGACCGGUGGUAAUAAGUGCAAGUGGCAAACCACUACACUCCUUUGCCACAGUUUGGGCUAACUCCGGAAUAUCGGGAUGACUUUCAAGAGUCUCUUCUCCGACCUUCUUUAGGAACAAUUCCCAAGCAUCUUGAUCUGCGAAACACUCCACCUUGAACGUUUUUUGAGCUUCCAUGAGGCUACAGACGUCCACAAGACGAGUCGUAAAGACUAUCUUUGAUGCAUUUCUUGAACUCGCAGGAAAAGGGACACCCACUUUGGCUAAAUCAAUUCUUUCCCAUAUAUCAUCUAACAAUAGCAGAAAUUUCAUUUUGCUCAAUAAAUUGAAUAUACCUGAUGCUUUCUCUUCAAAGCUUCAAUUCUGAAGCCAUCCUAUUCUUUCUCCGAUUUUUUGUUGAAUUCUCUCAAGUUGCAUGUCUUUUGACACCACCACCCAAAUCACAAUAUCAAAAUAAUAGUGUAGUCUUGCCGACUCCCCCCAUGCCAUAAAGUCCGAUGAUUCCAAAUUGUCCUUCUACAAGACAUCUCCAAACUUUAUCAAAUGAUGAUUCUAGGCCGAUUAUUGUUGGCUGAAGAGGCCUUUCAUCCACUGCUGGUUGUGGUACCUUUUCAGCUACCACUGCAAAAGCUCCAUCAUCUAUUAAAGUAGCCACAAGCUGCAGCUUUUUAGACACCUUUUUCCCAAACUUGUAGCUUGACUUGCAGUUCUUGGAGCAGUAGCCUCCAAGGCAUAGUUUUUCAAUUUCUUGAGAGGUGUCCCUUGUCAAUUCACCUACUUCAGCUUCCACAGCCUCCACCCUUGAAAGCCAACCUUGCACUCUGUUCAGCCGUCUUAGUUGUUGUUGCUCAGCAUUAGCGACCCUCAUCAUCACAUCGUUCUUUGUUUCAAUUAGUUUCUGCAAUUCCGUCUGGACGGCAACCAGGUUAUUUUCAAGCUGGCUUAGAUAUGCUGCUUUUCUGCGGGUACAAUUUAUGAAGCCAGUCAGGGCAUCACAUGUAAGUUGGAUUCCCAAAAUAUUACCCAUAGUUUGUAUGAGAUUCAGAGUACAAUAGAAGGAAUGCAACACAGUAUGUAUUCGGUUGUGGUGUCUAUGAUUUUACAGUCGCAGAAGCUUAUUCACCUUGUGAGGGCCGGUCAGGUGGGCACCAUCACUCUCCUUACGCUUUAUAGAGAGCGAUAGUCCAUGUGGUCAGAUCUCAUUCAGAUAACUAGCCAAGUGGGCAAUCGCUCCACCUUAUCAAAAUUCUUCAUCUAUAGUAAUAUCAUGAGUAGGCCUUGAAUUUUUCUUUUAAUUUUAACAUUUAAAAGGUAGAGGUGAAAAAGUCUAAAUAGUAUUUUUGUCCUCGUACUUUAAUAACAUUUCUUGAAAGUCACUCGAUCUCAAAAUUUAAUUAAGAAGAUAUUAUAGAUUUAUAAGCAAGCCCUUAAAAUUUAUUUGCAAGUAAGCCCAUAAGACUUACUAAAAGUCGUCAACUCGUCAUGACCAAAAUUGAAAAUUCUUCCGCGUGUGAAAUACGGCAUGCACAGACGUAUUAAAAACAAAGGCCAGCUAUGAUAUUCUUCGUAUAUUUGCAUUCCCUAUUAUCUUAUUAAUAAUUUCAGACACGUAGUUCGUUGCUUGUGAUUUUUCAUAUGCAAAAGCACAGUCAGUGUUACAAUUUACAAUUACAAUUGAGUGCCACCUAUAUACUCCUUCAUUCUUUUCAAAAUAUGUUGUAGGAUGGGUAAUCGUGACAAAAGUGAUUUUUAAAAAGAUUUGUUAUAAUAUUAAAAUUAACUUUUAAUUUUUUUUAAAUUACUUUUGAGCUUUGUGAAAAAAAUCCUAAACGGGUCUCAGAAGUAUAAUUAGAACCACGAAUUUAUAAAAUGAUCAAAGGAAUCCAUCGCCUAAUAUUAGAGUACGCAAUUGAUUGCUAUCAACUAAAUUGCUAUGAUCUCACUUCAUAAUAAUUUAUUUUCAAUCUCCAUCAUGGUAGAAAAUUUUCAUCAAUCAACAUACCCUACCACCACCCAAUAGUCGACCAUUUAUCAUCUUCUAUCCGCAAAAAAACGAAAAAAAGAAAGGAAAAAUUUAGUCCACAAAAGAAAAUAUCGCAAGACCAAACAAAGAGAGAAAAUAGAAAAAGCAAAGAGCUGUACUGAAUACCGCCAGUGAUGGCUCGGUACUUGACCAUUUAGGUUUGAUUCUGCAUUAACAUAAUAUUUUUUCUGCACUGCAUUCACAUCACAACCAUUGAAUAGUCGUGAUCUAUUUUUCUAAAGCGAAUACUACUAUCUUCUCGUGUCGGUGGCUUGAUCAUAUAACAAAAUAGACUAAUAAUGUUUCCUGCUGUACCGUACAUCCGCCUUGGCCGUACAGCAGAAAUACAUGAAAUAAAUUAACGAAAAAUAAAUUAAUAAGAUAAAAAAAAUUUCAUCACAUGUAAGUUGGAUUCCCAAAAUAUUACCCAUAGUUUGUAUGAGAUUCAGAGUACAAUAGAAGGAAUGCAACACAGUAUGUAUUCGGUUGUGGUGUCUAUGAUUUUACAGUCGCAGAAGCUUAUUCACCUUGUGAGAGCUGAUCAGGUGGGCACCAUCACUCUCCUUACGCUUUAUAGAGAGCGAUAGUCCAUGUGGUCAGAUCUCAUUCAGAUAACUAGCCAAGUGGGCAAUCGCUCCACCUUAUCAAAAUUCUUCAUCUAUAGUAAUAUCAUGAGUAGGCCUUGAAUUUUUCUUUUAAUUUUAACAUUUAAAAGGUAGAGGUGAAAAAGUCUAAAUAGUAUUUUUGUCCUCGUACUUUAAUAACAUUUCUUGAAAGUCACUCGAUCUCAAAAUUUAAUUAAGAAGAUAUUAUAGAUUUAUAAGCAAGCCCUUAAAAUUUAUUUGCAAGUAAGCCCAUAAGACUUACUAAAAGUCGUCAACUCGUCAUGACCAAAAUUGAAAAUUCUUCCGCGUGUGAAAUACGGCAUGCACAGACGUAUUAAAAACAAAGGCCAGCUAUGAUAUUCUUCGUAUAUUUGCAUUCCCUAUUAUCUUAUUAAUAAUUUCAGACACGUAGUUCGUUGCUUGUGAUUUUUCAUAUGCAAAAGCACAGUCAGUGUUACAAUUUACAAUUACAAUUGAGUGCCACCUAUAUACUCCUUCAUUCUUUUCAAAAUAUGUUGUAGGAUGGGUAAUCGUGACAAAAGUGAUUUUUAAAAAGAUUUGUUAUAAUAUUAAAAUUAACUUUUAAUUUUUUUUAAAUUACUUUUGAGCUUUGUGAAAAAAAUCCUAAACGGGUCUCAGAAGUAUAAUUAGAACCACGAAUUUAUAAAAUGAUCAAAGGAAUCCAUCGCCUAAUAUUAGAGUACGCAAUUGAUUGCUAUCAACUAAAUUGCUAUGAUCUCACUUCAUAAUAAUUUAUUUUCAAUCUCCAUCAUGGUAGAAAAUUUUCAUCAAUCAACAUACCCUACCACCACCCAAUAGUCGACCAUUUAUCAUCUUCUAUCCGCAAAAAAACGAAAAAAAGAAAGGAAAAAUUUAGUCCACAAAAGAAAAUAUCGCAAGACCAAACAAAGAGAGAAAAUAGAAAAAGCAAAGAGCUGUACUGAAUACCGCCAGUGAUGGCUCGGUACUUGACCAUUUAGGUUUGAUUCUGCAUUAACAUAAUAUUUUUUCUGCACUGCAUUCACAUCACAACCAUUGAAUAGUCGUGAUCUAUUUUUCUAAAGCGAAUACUACUAUCUUCUCGUGUCGGUGGCUUGAUCAUAUAACAAAAUAGACUAAUAAUGUUUCAAUAGACAUUUUGGUAAAUGGAAGAAGUUAUGAUCUGUCCAUUUUUAUGUUACUUUAUUUUAAUUUGUUAAUUACUAUUAAUAUCUUUGAGUGGGACAGAAUCUUGACCUAAGAUAUGACUAGGCUCCACAUGUUAAAUAUUAAUUUGAUUAAGCCUAGCUAAUUGUUAAUUAUUAAUUUGAUUGCGGCUUUUUAUUUUACCCACAUUUUUUACGCGUGAAAUCUUUCUUAGUGAAAAACUACACGUAUUUGCAAAUAUUCGGAAUGGACAUUUUAGAAAGAAAAAAAAAGUAAAAGAAAAUGACUAAAAAGUAAAAGAAAAUAGACACCCAAUUGUAAUUACGAGUACAAUAGAAGGAAUGCAACACAAUACUGAUUUUGCAGUCGCUGAAGCUUAUUCACCCUAUGAGGGCUGAUCAGGUGGGGGCCGUCGCUCUCCUUACACUCUUAUAGAGAGUUAUAGUCCAUGAUCUCAUUGAGAGAACUAGCCAAGUGGGCAAUCGCUCCACCUGAUCAAAAUUCUUCAUCCACUACACUCCUUUGCCACAGUUUGGGCUAACUCCGGAAUAUCGGGAUGACUUUCAAGAGUCUCUUCUCCGACCUUCUUUAGGAACAAUUCCCAAGCAUCUUGAUCUGCCAAACACUCCACCUUGAACUUUUUUCAAUUUUAAUCUUUAAAAGGUAGAAGAGGUGAAAAAGUUAAAUAAUAUUUUUGUCCUCCUAUAUAACAUUUUUUGAAAAUCACUCGAUCUUAAAACUUAAUUAAGAAAAUAUGAUAGAUUUUUAAGUUAGUGGCCCUUAAAAUUUAUGUGUAAGAAUAAAACAACAUUUAUCAUAUAACAAAUCGUACAUGAAUAAAUUUACCUUGAACCGUAGCAAACAAACAAGAAUCUCAACCACAUCAAUAUCAUAAUCCCUUCUGACCUUAACAAUAAUUUUAUUCGUCCUUAAUUCAUAGGUAUAAGUAUCCCAAUAUAUACUUGAUGUCAACCUUUACAAUUCUUUACAGAAUUGCAGCAGACCAAAUUUGUAUGCAAAACUGAAAUCAUACAGUAAUUGAAUACAGUGAAAAUAGACAUGAUGGGAAUUAGUAUAUAUAAAUAUCUUAAUAAUUUAAAAGUUUCUUAAACUGAUUUUACAUAUCUUGAAAAAUUAUAGAAAUCGGAACAGCUGCAGAAAUCAUAAUUUUCCAGCGAAUGUGUUACAACUUCAGAAACUCAUAAGAAAUUAAAUUCUUGGGAUCACAAAAUAAUUCAAUAGAAAGCUUAAGAUGUCUAGUUCAUAAGAUCUGAAUUUUUUUUUUUAAUAAGAUCUUUGGAAUUUAAGAGAUUCAGCAGUACUUUUAUUAUAUCAAUUCUUCAAACAAUCACCAAUCUAACAAUUCAUCAAAAUUAAGUCAUAAAAAUCAUGUGGUUUGUAAAAAGAAUUAUCUUAAUUUUUGUAUUUAAAUGCCCAGAGCUUAAGAAGCUGCUACUGGAUCUUGAAGGGGCAGACCAAGGUAAAAUUCUUAUCAAGGGAAAGGAAGAUUGGUGGAAACAACUUAAUGGGAGGAUCAAGUAACUCAGAAUACAUUGCUUCCAUUUUUUAAAUCGACUGACAAGUGAUUGAACGGGGCAUCAUCAACAUCAUCAACAGGGAUGUAGAGAUGCCGGAGCAGAUCAGCAGGGUUUGAAUAUGACCUUUGGCGGUUGCUUUUGAGGGCUAAUAAGACCAAACUCAGGCAUAUUGUCAAAUGUGCCUAUACUUUCGCUUGACAAGUCAUUUUAAAAUUGUCUUUCAAUGCCAAAAAACCACAUAAACUAAUGGUCCACUACUGUAAUUUGAAAGCAUGCAUGCGAUCGCCAAUAAUCAAGGAUGUUAGGGUCAUGCUACAGAGUAUAGAAUAUGAUUUUAUGGUAUAGCCUUUUUUCUUUAUAAUUUUUAAGUUUAAUGCUGUUACGUAUGUAGCACAUAAGUUGGAAAACAUAACAUAAAAUUUGAAAAAUGUGUUUUUUUUCAUUUUUUCCUUCCUGUCAUUUUAUCAUUUCUUUCUCUGUUUCUAUUGCGGGUGUUACUGCAUGCUUAUUGUUGCUUGACAAAGUUUGCUAGCUUUUUGUUUGCAGUGCUGCUAUAAACUCCGAGUCAAGCCCCGAAAAUUUAUUAAACGACGCCGUUUCGACAGUAACAAUUCUAUUCUUUUAAAGUUUAAAGUUUAUUAUUUUUAACUACAUGUUUAUAAUUUAUUUUUAUUAUGUGUUAAUCUAUAGAUCUAAAUUCACUUCGGAACCAUAUACAUAUUUAGACCUAAUGUGCAUGUUAAUCUAUAGAUCUAAAUUAACUUUAGAUCUAAAUUCUAAAUAGUAUUUUUGUCCUCGUACUUUAAUAACAUUUCUUGAAAGUCACUCGAUCUCAAAAUUUAAUUAAGAAGAUAUUAUAGAUUUAUAAGCAAGCCCUUAAAAUUUAUUUGCAAGUAAGCCCAUAAGACUUACUAAAAGUCGUCAACUCGUCAUGACCAAAAUUGAAAAUUCUUCCGCGUGUGAAAUACGGCAUGCACAGACGUAUUAAAAGCAAAGGCCAGCUAUGAUAUUCUUCAUAUUAUAAUAAAUAUUAAUUAAUAAUAAUUAGAAUAACAAACUAAGGAUAUUUUAAUAACUUAAAAUAAUUCAUUUUGAUUUCGAAACAAAAUAAACACAUCAAUCGCAAUACAACUCAUUCUGAUUCCACUCAUUCCCCUAUCAUCUUAUUAAUAAUUUCAGACACGUAGUUCGUUGCUUGUGAUUUUUCAUAUGCAAAAGCACAGUCAGUGUUACAAUUUACAAUUACAAUUGGGUGCCAUCUAUAUACUCCUUCCUUAUUUUUAAAAUAUGUUGUAGGAUGGGUAAUUGUGACAAAAAUGAUUUUUAAAAAGAUGUAUUAUAAUAUUAAAAUUAACUUUUAAUUUUUUUAAAUUACUUUUGAGCUUUCUGACACAUUUCUUUUCCUAAUGUCUUCGGCUUUCGAUUUUCUUUUAUUUUCUCUUUAUUCUUAAAAUAGACUUAUAAUAAUAAAAUAUAAAAAUAUAAAAAAAAUUAACAUAAUUAAGGUAACUUCUACAAGUAGUCUUAAGUUGACUGGCAACAACUACAUUGGCAUGUUCAAAUGUUCUCACUAUUGUAUUGGUGUGUUUCAUCAAUCAACAUACCCUACCACCACCCAAUAGUCGACCAUUUAUCAUCUUCUAUCCGUAAAAAAACGAAAAAAAAAAGAAAAGGAAAAAUUUAGUCCACAAAAGAAUAAAAUAAUCUAAAUUUACAAUUUAACAUAAAAUAAAAUAAUUAGUAGAAAACAAUUAUGGUUCAUUUACUUAUCAGUAAUUAAAAUAAACUGAAAUCGGAAUGAGUUGUAUUGCCGUUAAUGUGUUUAUGUUGUAUCGGAAUGAAUUAUUUUAAGUUACUAAAAUACCCUUGGUUUGUUAUUCUAAUUAUUAUUAUUAUUUAAUAUUUAUUAUAAUAAUUGUCAUAUUAUUAAAAAGAAAUAAUAAUGAUGAUAAUAUUAUCAUUAUUGUUUGUUAUAUUAUUAUUAUUAAAAAAAUUAUUGUUAAUAACAAUAAUAACUUUAUUUCAAUAAUAAAAAUGAUAAAAUUAAUAAUAACAAUCAUGACAACAACAACAAUUAUUUAUUAUGCCAAAAAAUAACAAUAAUAAUAAGAAUAAUAAUCAUCAUCAUUUUUUCCCAAAGAAGCAUUAUCAUCAUCAUUUCAAAAAAAAAAAAUCAUCAUCCACAUCAUUUUUGUAGUGGCUGCCUAUCGGCUGCUGCUUUCAUGCGAGAUUGACUUGCGACGCUUCAACUGCUAUUAUUUCUGGCAAUGUCAGGUGUUGUUGUUUCAAUGGGGGGAGAAGUUGUGGCUGCGAUUCGGGGAGCUACUGGUUCAGUGCACUAAUGACGGUAGGUGUUGCUGCUCAAUGCGAGGUCCAUGGCCAGUUGUCUUGUUUUACACCCAGCUCUUGUAAGAAAUUCUUCAUCCAAAAUAUUUUUUUGUAACCUUCAAUAAUUGUAAUAUCAUUUGCUUCCAUGGUAGAAAAGACAACUCAUUACUAAAGUCUAGAUUAUGAUGAGACUGCUCUCCCUGCAAAAGUGAGCAAAUAUCCUAGUAGGGAUUUUUCAUAAUCAAUAUCUCCUGUCAUAUCUGCACACUUGCUAACACAGGUUUGUCACCACCAAAAUAUAAACAUAUUCUGGAAAUGCCUCUAAGAUAUCUGAGAAUUCAUUUCACUGUUGUCCAGUGCUCUUUGCCAAGAUUGAAGAGAAACCGACUGACUACACUAAUUGCAUAGGCAAUAGCUGGUCUUGUACAAAUCAUGGCGUACACCAAACUGCCAAUUGCUGAAGCACAAGGAACUCCUCUCACUAAGAAAUGGGUUUUGCUCUUGAGAUUUUUGGGAACAUGAAGAAUAAAGAUGUAAUUUCUUGGACUACCAUUGUUUCGGGGUAUAUAAAUAGAGGACAAGUCGGUAUAGCUCGACAGUAUUUUGCUCAGAUGCCAGAACGAGAUUAUGUCUUAUGGACUGCCAUGAUUGAUGGGUACCUUCGAGUGAAUAGGUUCAGAGAGGCUUUGACACUUUUCCGGGAGAUGCAAACUUCAAAUAUAAGGCGAGACGAGUUUACCAUUGUUAGGAUUCUUACAGCUUGUGCGAAUCUGGGGGCACUAGAACUGGGAGAAUGGAUAAAGACUUACAUUGACAAAAACAAGGUCAAGAAUGAUAUAUUUGUGGGGAAUGCUUUGAUAGACAUGUACUGUAAAUGCGGAGAUGUUGAGAAAGCUCAAAGGGUAUUGAGGAAGAUGCUUCGAAAGGACAAAUUCACAUGGACGGCCAUGAUUGUUGGCCUUGCCAUCAGUGGCCAUGGUGAUAAAGCUCUUGAUAUGUUUUCCCAAAUGCUUAGGGCUUCGAUUAGACCAGAUGAGGUAACUUAUGUUGGCGUUCUGUCUGCCUAUACUCACAAUGGUAACGAAAUUUUUUUGAUAAAUAGUUGCAACUUAAGGUGAGAAUUGGAGGAAACGAAAUAGACUGAAGUUGUUCAAUGAUCGGUCGUCUCUAUUUGUUUUUCUCCAAUAUCUCAUCUCCAGUUUUGACUCAGAUUCUGUCUUACCACUAGUAAUUACAUAGACUUGCUGCCAAAGGUAAGAAUGAGAAUAAAUUAAAUAGAUUAUGUCGAUAACGAAAUAGAUUUACUAUUGCUAUGUGCAUUAUAUUUGGUUCCUGCAAAAUAUUUUCUCCUGCCUAAAAUUUUUUGAAUCAGUAAGUUUUUACCUUACGCAAGAAUUGUGCUAAGAGUAAUUCCAGUCUCUCUAUAUUUCAAUGAAGACGUAAAACUUGUGUUUUAGAGCACCAAUGUUAUGCUUCUUACAAUUGGAUUUUAAUUUACUUCGGGUGUAUCCCGGUAAUGCACAUGUUAUACAUUUGAAACAUUCCGUUAAUUGCCAAUUAUGUAAGCGAGAUAGUAAUUUAAAUUUUUUUUUUAAAAAAAGUGAAAAUUAAUCCUAUGCAAUGUGAAUAAAUUUCUUUCCUUUUUCCUUCUCUCUUUUUAUUUGAUAAUUAAGUUUCAACCUAUGUACCCAAAAUUUCUGCAACAGGUAAAAAACAUAAAAAUAUAUGAUUGUUAAUGUAAACACGCGGAAGUUCAUCAUUUCAAUGUUCAGUAUUUCCAAUUUUGGCAUACGAAUAUAUUCCAAAUAUUAGAAUUGUAUUUUAAUUCAUUCAUCAUAUCUCAUUUCAAUCCCAAAAUAUUCAAGAGGAUCCAAGUUACCAUAAGACUUCAGAGGCUCGAGCCUUAGCCAGAGACGGUUAAUUGAUAGACUAUGUGCCCGGGUCGAGCACUGGAAGCCUGCAAUGCAGACUGAUUGAUUUAUCAGUUUGAUGUGUGCCAGGAAUGAAGAACUGGAAUAUCACCGUCAAGCAAGCACCCAGUGAAGCAAUACCAUAGAAUGCACAAUCCGGCCUUUGUAGGUGACACUGGAGGCUUUUUGAAAAGUGCUUCAUGCUCACUUGCACAGAUUGAGCAUCCCCUCUGGAUAUUGCGCUCUCUGAUCGAGUCUGAGCACUCAAAUUUCGGUCCUCAGAUGGAGCUACAGCUUUCUCUCCAAUAACCAACAAUUUUCUAAACUCAGCACCUAGUGUGAUCAGAGUUGUUGAUAUUUGUAAAUGGAGAUCCCCAUAUUUGCAAAUGGAGACAUUUAACAAAUCACCAACAUGCUUCAUCCGGUGUACAAAAUUCUGCAGCUGAUUCAAAUCCGGAACCUGAACCAGAGUGGGAGGUAAAUCUUGAGCCAUAUCUAAAGCAGUUUGAAGUUCAAGUACUCGAACCCUUGACAGUGGUUUUGAAAUUGGGACAUCUUGAAUUACUGCAGACUUGUACCCUUUGGUUUCAAAGGUAAGGAAAGGCAUUGCUUGAGUACAAUUUGGAGGCAGCUUCUUCACCAAUUUUAUUUGGAGGCGAUUGGCAGCAGAUCCAGCUGCACCAUUUUCAGAGCAAAUACUGACACUACUUCAAACAGCACGCUGAAGAAGCGCUAUGUCUACGGCAAAGGCAAUGCAGUCCUCAUUUUGGCUUGAGAUGCGGUAAUCAUCGAGGAGAGUUUCCUUAUGAAACUGGGCAACACAUUGAAUCCCUUCACCACUGAGAAGGUUGUGGAGGAAGUACGCUUUCUCUCUAGUGAGGAAGAGGUGGCAUACCUUCCCCAUUUUGUCUAGGGCAGUUAGGAAUCUUUUUUCUAAGAGAUUUACUCCAUUCUCUGUGAGAAAUGCUUUGAACUUCAUCCCUCUGUCUCUAUCCUCACUUAUCAGUAAAACAGUUGAAAGUGAUACAAGGAGAGAAAAGGAGAGUACUAAGAUAUAUAGACAAGAAAAACAUUAGGUGUCGAUCUUACAUGUUAAUACUUCAAACAGUAUCUUAGAAAGCUAAAAACUGCAGAAUGGCUUGAAAUUUGAAAAGAACACAUGCUUUUCCUCCUUAACUUGAGAAAAUGUUUAACAUAGCGCGCCUUACUGAAGCAAGCAAUUAAAACUUUGCACAAAAACAUUCAAGAAGACCAAUAUUUCAACUAAUUUACUGAUGAAAAUCUCAACAUUCAAGAAGACCAAUAUUUCAACUAUUUUACUGAUGAAAAUCUCAAAGCACAAAUGGCAUUGCAUUUUUUCCUCAACUGUAAUAUUUAUUGAUGAAAAUCAGUACAGGUCCCUCAUUUGUUAUGGAAAGUUUUCUUGUAGUCUGACCGGUUAAUUCACGGGUCUAUAAUCAUCUUGCAAAGUUACGGAUAUUUCUUUCGAUUUAAAGUCUUUGCAUCACCACCUCAUCACACACCAAGCCAAUAUUCUGUCUACCUCUACAACAAAAAGUUUUAAGUAAACGAUCCUAAUGCACGCAGCCAAAUAAAAUGCAGUAAGAAUAUUCAACUUAAAAAUCUGGAAGUCAUCUGGGUGAAUUGCCUUCUUAGGGUGAAAGAAAACAGAGAUAUGCUGUUUGGUUGAAUAGAAAAUCACAGACAAAAUUCUCAAUACUUGUAUUUGAUAAGAUUCAGUUUCUAAGUUCUUUUACAAAUCAGUACAAGUAUUUAUAUUAUUCCUUACACGUGAGAAUUACUAGUAACUCACUAACUAACUAACUUUUAUGAGCUGGAUCACUAACACUUAACUAAUCACGUUGAGCUGCUAUUCUUCACUAACAACCUUCUGCUGACAUGGCUUCACCAAGCUGCUUGAAUAGUGAGCUGCUUUGACAGCCCUCCUCAAACUCAAAGGACAGGACAUGACAUUGAGUUUGGCCUUAAGAUAGUUAAAAUGAAUGAAUGAAAGUGGCUUGGUCAUAAUGUCAGCUACCUGCUCCUCACUUGGUAUAUAUUGAAUGUUUAGUUCUCCAGCAAGAACUUUGUUUCUAACAUAAUGAAUAUCAAUCUCAAUAUGCUUUGUUCUUGAGUGGAAAACUGGAUUGUGAGCUAACUCUGUUGCACUAAGAUUGUCAUACCAAAUAAUAGGUUUUUCUAUGCAUUGUAGUUUCAACUCAGAAAACAAUGACUGCAGCCAGCUUAUCUCUGCACUUGCUGAGGCUAGGGACCUAUACUCACUCUCUGCGCUGGACCUAGCAAUAACAGGCUGCUUCUUAGACGACCAAGAUAUCAGAUUAUGACCAAGAUAGAUGCAAUAGGCUCCAAUCGAUUUUCUGUCAUCCAGAUCCCCUGCCCAGUCUGCAUCUGUGAAUCCAGUUAGUUUCAGAUCACCAUCCUUAAUAAAUUUGAGUCCAUAGUUCUGUGUUGCCUUUAGAUAUCUGAGCACUCUUUUGCAAGCCAUAAGGUGCUGCAGUGUUGGUGCAGAAACGUAUUGACUCAGCUUGUGAACACUAAAGGCAAUUUCUGGUCUUGUUAAUACCAAAUAUUGCAUCCCACCAACAAUGCUUCUGUAAUGUGUUACAUCUUCAACAUAACAACUAAGAUUACCUUGAGCUUCCUUCUGUAGCUUCAUUCCUGUACUCAUAAGAGUAUCAAUAUCUUUGCAAUUUAUCAUCUCAACUCUUGACAGCAAAUCCCUUAUGUAUUUCCUUUGAGAUAAGAAAAUACAAUCUGUAUCAUACAGCACUUCAAUGCCUAAGAAAUAAGAAAGAACUCCAAGAUCCUUCAAAGCAAACUUUGUACUGAAUUCUGUAAUGAAAUUUUCUAGCUCAAAGCUAUUUGGUCCUGUUAUUAAGAUGUCAUCCACAUAAAUAAGAACUAGGAUCAUAGAUGACUUAUUUAUUUACAAGAAUAAGGAGGUAUCUGAGCUGGAAGUUGUAAAUCCCCACUGCAACAAACAGCCUUUCAACUUAUCAUACCAAGCUCUUGGAGCUUGUUUAAGUCCAUAAAGAGACUUGUGAAGCUUGCAUACAAAGUCUGGUUUCUCAGUGCUGAUGAAUCCCUCUGGUUGAUCCAUGAACACUUCCUCUGUUAAGUCUCCAUUGAGAAAGGCAUUAUUCACAUCAACUUGCCUUAUCUUCCACUGAUUCAUCAUAGCUAAACUCAAGACUACUCUUACAGUUGCUGGUUUUAUGACAGGACUAAAAGUUUCAAAACAAUUCACUCAUAUAAUUUGUUGAAAUCCUGGCUGUAAACCAUUUUGGGUUUUGCAUAGCCUCAUAUACAGAAUCAGGUUCUUUGUGAACAAGGGUUGCUGUAUAAAGCUUUGGUUUGAAGAUACCAGUUUUGCUUCUGGUAGUCAUUGGAUGUGUAUUAAGUUGGACUGGAAAGGAUAUAUCAGGUGUAGGUUGAGCUAAUAAGGAUAUGUCAGUGCAGGUUGAGGUGAUGAAUUUUGAGGCUCUAUAGAUGGUUCAAUGAAUGGGGUAUAUGUUUGUGAAUAUGAAUGCUGAUUGUCAGUAUGAGAUGAAUUAUCUGAAUGUUGUAAACUGCUGCUAGUAGAAAUUGCAGAUAGAAGAUUGCAUGAGCUGUUUCCAUCUGAUACUGGUGUUGUAGAUAAUGUGGUUAGAUGAUAUACUUGUUGGGGUGUAAGGGAUUGACUCGAAUAAGAUGAUGAUUCAUUAGAAUGAAAAACUGAGUCUGUAGAAUAAGGAAAUGUUGACUCAUCAAAAACAACAUGUCUGGCUAUGUACAUUUUGCCUGAUGAAUGCAAGCAUUUGUAACCUUUGUGAACUGGACUGUAGCCAAGGAAAAUGCAUUUGCUUGAGUGAUAAUCAAAUUUGUGUUUGUUGUAAUCCCUUAGAUAAAGAUAACAUGUGCAACCGAAACACUUGAGCAUGUUGUAAUCAGGUUUAAGUUUGAAAAUUGUCUCAUAGGGGGUAAGGAGUUUUAGAGCUGUUGAGGGUAAUCUGUUUAUAUGGUAAACAGCUGCAAGAAAGGCAUCCCACCAAAAUUUAAAUGGUAGCUUGGCUUGUGCUAACAGGGUUAGUCCUAGCUCAACAAUGUGUCUAUGUUUUCUUUCUACCACCUCAUUUUGGUGAUAUGUAUAAGGACAAGAAUGUCUGAAAAUGAUUCCACAUUGGUUUAAGAAUUAAGUAAAUGACCUGUAUUCUCCCCCCCAGUCAGAUUGCAGGUUUUUAAUGAUGGUGUCAAAUUGGUUUUCAACCUGCAAUUUGAAUAGUUUGAAUACAUCUAAUGCCUCAGAUUUCAACUUAAGAGGAUAAAUCCAAGUGUAUCGGCUAAAAUCAUCAACAAAGCUUAUGUAAUAGACAUAGCUAUCUCUAAAAGGUGUAGGUGAUGGUCCCCAUAGGUCUGUAUGUAUAAGCUCAAGGGGUUUUGUUGUUUUGGUUUCUGUGCUGGGAAAAUGCAGCCUAUGGGAUUUGCUCAUUUGACAUGCUUCACAGAUAUGCUCAAGUGUUUGUUUUAUGUUAUUUCUUGAGAGAUUAACUGAAGUAAUUCCUUUUAGCAAAUGCAUUAGAAUUUGAGAAUUAUGAUGGCCAAAACGUUUGUGAAGAAGAAGAAUUUUAUUAUUCAAUGCAUCACAAGAUGAAAUGUAACUGGAAAAUUUAUUUAUUGAUGCAUUACAAACUGUGAUACAACUGGAAUCAUUAUUCUGAGUGUUUUUAAGAACACUUGAAUCAAAAGAACAGGCAGAUAACAUUGACAAAGGUUGAGUGGAUGAAGAUUGACCCAAGUAAGAACAAGGAAGAGACUCAGAUGGUCUUAGAAGCAGCUUAUACAAUCCUUUCUCAGCAAGUCCUGUCAGAAGCACUUGCCUCUUCAGAGAAUCCUUCACAUAGCAAACAUUAUCAACAAAUUCAAUAGAGAGAUGGUUAUCUGCAGUUAAUUUUGAUAUGCUAAGCAGGUUCUUUGUGAUAUCAGGUACUAAUAACAUGUCUUUAAGUAGGAUAUGUGUUGGUUUAUGUGCAGCAUUUGAUCCUUUAUAAGUAAAACAUGCAUUACCAAUAUGAGUUAUAGGCAAACCUUGGCCAUUGCCGAUGACAAGUUGAUCAGAUCCUCUGAAUUCCUCUUUGACAUUCAUAUUAGCCAUAUUGUUAGUCAAGUGAUGUGUGGCACCACUGUCAAGGUACCACCCUUCAUCAGCAGGCCCUUCAUAGUUUCAUAUCUAUGCCAGCAUUCAUCUGCUGCAUGUCCUGUUUUGUGGCAUAUCUAACAUAUGGUUGCUAAUUCAUCAGCAUGCAUGUUAGCUGAAGGAUGAAAGUUUGUCUUCAUAGGUGGCCUAAAAGGUUGCAUUAUCUGGUCCCUGCCAUAACCCCCAACAUUACCAACACCAAGUGAAAAACCUCUGGGAUAUGGAUUGUGAAACAUGCCUCUUCCAACAUUAACUCCUCUAGUCAUAGGACGACCAUAAUUUCCAUUUCCAACAACACCUCUUCUAAAAUUUCCUCUCAUAUAAGGAUGAUUCACAUUCAUUGUGCUAUAGUUUGCAUUAAACACAGUUUUGGCACUUUGAUUUUGUUCAAGUCUAGCUUCAUGAGUCAGUAACAAUGCAUAAGCAUCAUCAUAGCUCAUCUUAUUUGCAAUGAUUAUGGAGGCUAGAUCUAGAUAUCCUGAACCUAAGCCAUUCAAAACUCUCAUUAACAAAUCCUUUUCAGUGAUUACAUCACCAGCACAAGCAAGUUUGUUGGCGAGUAAUUUCAUUUUAGCACAAUAUUCCUAAACAUUCAUUGAAUCUUUUCUUAAGAUGUUCAUUUCAUAUCUGAGUUGCAUAAUCUUAGCCUCAGAUUGAACUCCAAACUGUUUUUCAAUGGAUCUCCACAUAUCAAAUGAAGUGUCAUAGCUAAGAACAGAACUAAGAAUAGCUUCACUUAUAGUUGAGAGCAGCCAGCCAAGGAGUAUUUGAUCUUGUGCUCUCCAGUUGCUGUAGGCUGGAUUUUCAAUGCUCUCACCAGAUCCUUCGAUCGUUGAAUCAACUAGAUAUUGUUCUGGAAUAAUUUGCGGCUCUAGAAUCAAUCUUUCAAGGCGAUUUUCUCUGAUUGAAGUUACCACUUGUUUGCGCCAAAGUAAGAAAUUUGAUCGAUCAAGUUUCACAAUUGCAGCAAAAGUAAAUGAUGUUUGUGUAUGUUGAUUUGAGUUUAUGAUUGUUUGAUUUGAGAUUGUAUUGCUUGAGCUGGCCAUUUGUGGCUCUGAUACCAUGAAAGAAAACAGAGAUAUGCUGUUUGGUUGAAUAGAAAAUCACAGAGAAAAUUCUCAAUACUUGUAUUUGAUAAGAUUCAGUUUCUAAGUUCUUUUACAAAUCAGUACAAGUAUUUAUAUUAUUCCUUACGAGAAUUACUAGUAACUCACUAACUAACUAACUAACUAACUAACUAACUAACUUUUAUGAGCUGGAUCACUAACACUUACCUAAUCACGCUGAGCUGCUAUUCUUCACUAACAACCUUCUACUGACAUGGCUUCACCAAUCUGCUUGAAUAGUGAGCUACUUUGACAUAGGGGAAGCUCCACGAUUUACUAUAUUAGACAGAACUGAGCGAAAGCUUCCAUACGGCAGAUUUUGACAAUAAUGAUGCCAACAGAUCCUCAUUAAAUCCAUUAAAACUCCUAAGGUUCAUUGUUCAUGGAUGUUUACAGAGUUUUGGUCAUCAAAUAGCUCAGACCACAAUCCCAAACAAAAAACGGGUGAAAAUUAGAUCACCAGCAGCUAAUUGUAAAUUCAAACUUAACUCUUCAUAUCCUUUGUAAACAGGAAACAAAAUGGAGACACGCAAAAUGAAUAAGGAGAACAUUUGAGCUCAAAUGAAAUGAGGGUACGAAAGCAAACAAAUGGCAUGCACAAACAACCAAGCCUCAAUCAAAAACUAAUUAACCAUUAAAAAAAAAAAAUGGUCAGAGAAUGAACUCCAAAUUCGGGAGUGAAGCAAGAAGCUUUCAUUAUUUCAGAAGCUCGUGUACAAAUUAAUAAGUUAUGCUCUUUGGAAACAAACCUAAAUUCCAAGAGAAACAGAACUAAAAAAAUUUGCAAUUAUACGCAAAGGAAGUGAAGCACAGCAUUCUAUCACACGUACGAAUUGUAUAACAAGAGAUCGACACAUCGAAUCAGAAGAACUCAAUUCAAAUUUGUCUCAAAAAUCAAAAUUAGAAGAUUUCACAUUUCGAGAGGAACAAGCGACAGGUCAGAAUUAACGGUUUAUUUCCAUGGAUUUAGAGAGCUAACUGACCUUUUGGCUUUUGGAAUUGAGAAGAUCGCGCGCCAAAAUGGAAGAGGGAAAGCGAAAGUGCGGGUUUUAAUAGGGUAUUGGAUUAGCAAAUUUUAUUAGUUUGCGGGGGUAAAAUAGGAAAGAGAUAUCACUAUUAACCUUUUUUUAUAAGAAAAAAGAAUAAUAAAGAAUAUUUUAUUGUCAUUUGCAGCCUUUAUUUUUUUUUAAAUGCUAUUAGAAAAAUAUGACAACAAAGAAAUGCUCCUUUUUUUUUAUUUUUCUCUCAAAGAUAAAAUCAAUUAUUUAGCUCCUUAUAUGUAAUUAAACUCCAUUUCUUACUCUAAGUCAUAUCCAAUGGACCAACAAAGUAAUUGGUUUUUUGUCAUUCAUUUUUACAGAAAAUUAAUAACUUAAAAAUAUUGAAAGCUAUUGUAAAAUUUUUUAUUAUCAACCUCAUAGUUUAAUUUUUUUGGGGAAGAAUUGAAACCUCAUAAUUUAAUUUUUUUGGGGAAGAAUUGAAAUUUUUUUUUUAAUUUCCAAGAAUUUCAUUCUCUAGUUUUUCCAUUAAUAUUACUUAUCUUGAUACCCAUCUUAAUUAAAAUCUGUAGUUUUAUUCAAGAGUCAUGCUAUUCAUUCACUCACAGACAAAAGGCUUUCCGCAGCAAUAUUAUUAUUUAAAUUACAACAAAGGGGAAAUCAAAUACGUCAUACAGAAGCAUAAAGCUGAAUCUACAAAAUCUAGAGCUCUCAACUACAUAAAUUACACUUGAUGAUCCUCUACAAGAUGAAGCUUGUUCAAUAUCUCAUCCAAAGCUUGUAAAGUAACCCUGUAACGAUCUUGAGAUUGCCGGCCUUCCUCGACGACCUGCACGAUGCGUUUGUACAAAUCAUCAUACCUGUGCACCGGAUUUUUAAUAUCAAUGGCACUGCAGCUGUGAUCAAGAACAUAAGAGCGUUUAACGUCUUUUCUCCAUCGAGAAAGAAUGUACUGAGAUGGGAUCUCCUCCAUGCCACUCUCGUUUAAAACACAAAGAAUGUGUCUGCAUAAAUAUCCUCUGAAAUUGAACAACCCACAAACACAAAGCACCUCCAAGUCAGAGGCAUUGUACAAAACAUCGAAAGCCCUUGAAUCUUUCUCGUUGCUACCAACCUCAAAUUCUUCUUUCACUAUGUAUGUUAUAGGUCCAUCAGCACUGACAUGUUUUGUGCUAUAGCAAGAGUACAUAGCCUCCACCUCCGUCUGAAACUUCCUUAACAUUUCAUUUGUGUACAGUUUUGAGAGUUGAAAUUCAUAGUAACAUCUUGGUUUCUGGAUACAACUUGAAUUUCUUGAAUCCAUAUCUGCCAAGGCUUCCAGUUGAUAAUUCGCCUGCAGUGCUUGAUCAUACUUGUCUAAGAAUUCUUUCAAAGGAGUAUUCUUAUCAAGAUAUCCUUCAAAGUAUGAAGUAGAAACCUCAUUCUGCAGGAACGAAAACACUCCUGAUAAAAAAGCUUCCUUCAAAUAAAUAGGAGCCCACCUUUUACGAUCUUCAUAUAAAGUUUGAAUCCAUCCGUGAUCCUUUAUUCCAUGACGUUGAAUCAUGUCUUCCCAAGCUGCUUCAAAUUUCUCACGUCAGAGAGAGUGAUAAAUUGCUCUAUGUAAUGCAGCUUUAAUAGCUUCAUAUUCAAACAAUCCUUGGAGUUUCUCUGGAAUUUUUUGCAUGAUGCAUGACAAUGAAAAGCAAUGAUAAGCUCUUGGGAAAACAUCGCCAACAGCAAUUUGCAAGAUUCUACAUUGGUCAGUGAUGAUUGUUUGUGGAGAGCGCCCUAACAUACAUGUAAGCCACGCCCUAAACAACCAUGUCUAUGAUUCUAUGGUAUCACUGGCAAGUAAACCACAACCCAACAACACUGAUUGUCCAUGAUGAUUCACCCCAAUGAAUGAAACCAGUGGUACAUCAUAUCUUUCAGUCAAGCACGUAGUAUCAAUUAAGACUGCAUCACCAAAGUACCUAUAUGCAACUCUUGACCUGGUAUCAGUCCAGAACAGGUUUCUCAAGCAUCCCUUUUCAUUUAGUCCACUACAUUAAAAAAGUUUGGAUCUGUCAACUGCAAACGACAAAAGAAACUCUGGAUAGCUUGUGCAUCUCCUGGUUUAAGCUUCAAUUGAUUUGAGCUAUUAACAUUAUUUCCAAAUACUCCAUUAACAUCUACAUUACCAUUUCCCUCGGUAUCAAUGAUAAGAGUUCGAAACAGUUUAAUUUUUUGAACUUCUUCAGCACUAUCUAAAUGCAAUGUUCUUUUGGUUCCAAUACCUAUGUGCUUAUGUGACUUGUAAAACUUUUCACUUCUUGGGCUUAACAAGUGGUUAUGCUCAAGCUCGACUUCAAUGAUUCUCCACCUUUUGGUUUCCAUCAACCUAAACUUUAUCAUUGCUGGACAGCCAGUUCUUGUUUCUGGUCUUGGGCGGUUUGCCUCGGUUUUCUUCUUGAAGCCUGCACUACUACAGCUCAGCUUUCCUCUAUACUUUACUCUUUUGGUACCAUGUAUUGCUAACUCUAACACCAAAACCAUGUUCCUUGGCAUAGCAAUUGUAAAAGUAAAAUACAUCAUCAUACAUCUCAAACUCCAUUCCAACAGCAGGAGGCAAGGGAUUUUGGAUUACCCCAGUUUGUCCAACAUAUUCAGUCAUCGCACAAUCUCCUACGACCUCAAAAUCAUCAGUGUCAUCAUCACCUACUGGUUCGGUGUUGAGAGAAACUUCAUCCAUCUACAAUGGAUGUUCAAUGAAGUGAGCUUUAAGGAGAAAAAGCAAAAUCAGUUCAAGGAAUGAUAAUAUAAUCAUACAGUUACUUUCACAAAGCUUCAUAUUUCAUCACUGCUUUACCAACAUGCAACUGCCAGAGAACAAACAGACAUGUCAUAGACGCUUGAAUUAAGUAUUUGUACAAAUGAGCACACAUCAUGUGGGACAAAAUUUCAGUCACUAAACCCAAUACCACUUUUUACAUCAUACCAAGGAACAGAUUAAACCCGACACCUUCUUUUAAACCAUACCAAGGAACAGAUUAAAUCAUCAAUGAAAAAUUAAUCACAUAAUAACUUAACCAGACAAAUGAAGAGCCUGAAACAGCACAAAACUUGAAUAUGAUUAUGAUAAUUGUUGAGUCCUUGCAUCUACAGCUUUCCUUCAAUGAUAAGACAAUGAACAUAAACGAGAUGCAAAAAAUUUAUUUUAAGCUGACAGCCCAUGAUAUAAAUCAAACAAAAUCAACUCCUUUUUUUACACAUCACAUCUCAUAUUCAUUUACAUUGAAACACAAAAAGGAAGCAGGAGUGGGAAAAAAACAACAGCAGUGGAACUUAUUUCCAUAAGGUUUACGAAAUAAGGAAUCUAUUAAAACCCAAAACUUGAGGUCACCACUAAGAAUUUGGUUCUCAUUAUUUUUUUCUUCAUUUUUCACCAAUGAUGAACUUAAAAUACAAUCAUAAAUGAUAAAACCCCAUCUCCAUCUUUUUGAACUAGAGCUAAAGCAAAGCAUUUUAAGAUGUUUCAUCAUUUUUUUUUAAAAAAAAAACCUCAAUAGUACAAUGUUUUUCAAUGUUAAAUGCACAAUUCAAUCUUCUCCUAAUUUACUCUAAUAAUCUCUUAAUUAAGGAAGAUUAAGCUUCAGUUGUAAGCUAAAACAAGUUUCUUAAAUCAAGCCCCAAUGCUUUAUGCUAUUCAACAAGGGCUCAUAAAUGAUAAAACUACUUCUACAAAGAUACCCAUUUUCUAAAUUAAUUUCACAAACUGAAAUCAAACUCCUGAAACGUAACGAGCAUUAAUAUAAUCAAACCCGAACAAGAAUUGAAAAACGACACAUAAACUCGUUUACACAUUUUGACAGACACUUUGCAAUCAAUGAGCAAAAAAUUAAUGGAGAAGAUAAAAUUCAAACGAAACAUGCCUUACAUUGAUAAAUUAGAAGGGCAAAAGAAAUUUAAGUAAGAUAUGGGAUCAGGGUCUUGCCACGGUGAUGUUAUUUGUGAUGUUCGAGCGACUCAGCAGCCUUCGAGGUUGAAAAUUUGAUUGACCAAAAGCUUCCCGUUCGUUGAUUCUCUAAUAGCAGAAACGAGACUGGCAGUAUACACAACAAGUUCGCUGAUUUUAAAUUCCGUUGUUUGAGAUGGAAAUUUUUUUUGAAAAAAUUAAUGUGUUCGAUGAAUAUCAAAAUCUCAAAAACUUUUUGUUUUUCAUUUUUUUGGAAAAAGCCAUUGAGAUCCUUACUAUUUUUUCUUAUAUAAUCUUGCUUAAUAAUUUGCAAAGUCUAUCGCAUAGCACCCAUGCAUGAUGUAUGCUGCGUUGUAAUUUACAAAAUUGCACAUGAAUAAAUCCAGCUAAAAUUUGUUAAAAGAAAAUAAUAAUAACAUGUUAAAACUUAAAAAUUUGAUUAUUCGAAGAAAUUUUAAUUAUUUAAGUAGGUGACAUGAUAAUAAAUAGAUACAUAUAAUGUCCGAGAUUUUUUAUAAGGUUAAUAAAUAUGAUAAAUUUGGAUUAGUUCAAUUUUGACAUAAUUCAUAAUAAACACAGCUUGCUAAUCUAAAUUGCCACCGUUACUCAUCAUCAGGUACCUGUUUGAAAAAUAAUUACAAACAAUUUUAUUUGUGUUGUUUCUCUAAAAGUUUGAGACACAAAUGUUAUUUCAAAUUGAUAAAAGUACGAAAAUUCCCCCUUGCUCUUCAACUAAAAAUUAAACAUGCAAAUAUACACACUAAUUUAGAUGUGUGAAUAACAAAUAUGGAACGACACUUGCAAAGUCAUCUGUUCAUUUAUUUUUAUUUAUGAUUUUUUUGUAAAAUGUAAGAAAUAUUAAGAAAUGUUGCCAGCAAUGAUUUUGGAACUUUGCAUAAAAUUUUUAUCAUUAUUGUUUUUGGUAUUAAGAAAUCCGAGGCGGUGAUUAGACGUAUGUUGCAACAAUUAAGAAAUUUCUUAUUGGAGAUAAUUUGGUAGGUUGCAGCAAUUAGAGAAUAAUUUUCCUGUUAGUUAAUCAAUCAAUAAUAAAUUUCAAAUUGCAGAAAAUAAAAUAAUACUGUCGCACUUAGAAUCAUCUUUUCUAUCUCUUUCAAUUGUGACAAUCAUUUGUAACAAAUAAAUCAAUUCAAAGUUCAAGUCACUGCUCAAUUGCAGAGUAGUUAGUAGACAUGCAUGCAUGUUUAAUUAAGUACUGCAUUGUAGUAUCGAAAAUCAUAACAUCUCACCAAGCCCGGAAGCAUAGCUCUUUAUCUUGUAAAUGUUGAAAUCUUAUGCAACCUAUGGGAAACAUGAUCUCACUCUCAGUGUCACUUGAUUCCAUUUUCUGUUCUUGCCUUGAUUUCAUUGUUGGGAAUGUGACGUCUGAGUCUAAGGUUGAAGAUAAUCUCGAUGCCUUGCGGACUGCAUUCACCAAGCCCGGAAGCAUAGCUCUUUAUCUUGUAAAUGUUGAAAUCUUAUGCAAACUAUGGGAAACAUGAUCUCACUCUCAGUGCCUUGAUUUCUUUGUUGGAAAUGUGACGUCUAUUGGAAAAUAUUUACUCAAAUCAACAACAAGUUCCUUGAUAUGUCAAGCCCCGAAAAUUUAUUAAACGACGCCGUUUCGACAGUAACAAUUCUAUUCUUUUACCUUUGCCUGUCUCUUUCAUCUGCUGUUUCUCUAUCACUUUUCAUUUUUGAUUUCCUUGCUUCCCAGCUGCCCCUAAAUUGUUAUUCUAGCAAUAUACUUUCUCAUCUUUGAAUUUUCAUCCUUGAGUACUCCCACAGCCGUAAUUUCAUCAUUAUAGACUUCACUUGGAAUGCUAGAUUUUUUCGAUUCUUGAGCUACUUCAAUUACAUCUUAGUAUAGGAUCCUCAUCUUCCUUUAUUUCUUCAUCUUAUGAGGUAACAAAUGGAUUUCACAACUCAUCUACUUUUAAGCAAUUACAUAUUAUACCCUGAAUGAUUCAACUGUUCCGACAGUUAAAGAUUUUAUGCUCAACCUGCAGUGCUACGAACAUUGUCCAUGAAAGAUGAGUUUCAGCAUAUAAAAUGAAAUAUAGAUGUUUAAUCUAAAAUUACCCUUCACUGCCAGAAACCUAGAUCACAAAAUUCACAAAUAAUGAUAAAGAGCUAAAAAUUUUGAAAAACUCUACGGAUCACACAUCAAGCAAGAUAUCAUGUUUUUUUCCCUCAUUCGGUGGUGAUUGAUUCGCUUUUUGAUGAUGGAUAUGGUAUAAAAGUGUUGACCCAAUUUCAAGCAAACACAAUCGGGACUAGAGUUGUGGGCGAUUAUCUUCCAAGAUUUACAACCCCAGAAGUUUCGGGAAAAGAUUGGGAAAAAGAAAGGCUUGUUCGAUGAGUCAUGGAAGAACUGAAGUUUUGAAGAGAAAGCACUCGACAUAUUCAAGAAUUUAAGCGAGAUGAAGUUUGUAUUACUGCUGGAUGAUUUAUGGGAGCAGGUUGAUUUAAUUAAAGUUGGUGUCCCUCUUCCAAGCACAAAAAUUACAUUCAAGAUAGUCUUCACAACUCGUUCUAUUGACAUAUGUGGCCUCAUGGAAGCUCACAACAAGAUUAAAGUGGAGUCUCAUGGAAGAGAUGGGAUUAUAUCAAGAUGAUCAAAGCAUGUUAAAAAAGAAAAAAGAAAAAAAGGUUUAUUGGAAGAAGAGGCUCCACUGUUUGUAAAAGUGCAUGAGGUGAUACGCGAUAUGCUUCUGUGGAUAGCAUGUGAUGUUUUUUUUUUUUUAGGGGGAUAGCAUGUGAAGUUGAGAAGGAGAAAGAGAAUUUUUUGGUUCGUGCAGGUGCAAGGAUUAACUGAAGUACCAGACAUUUGGAAAUGGUAAGGGUUGAGAAGGGUGUCUUUGAUGAGCAACAAACCUGAGAAGUUAUCAGAAAUUCCUUCAUCUCCCGAUCUGAAAUUUAAAUCUCGGAGAAAAUAAAUAAUCAUGCAGAUUUUUAAGAUUUUAAUAAGGGAUACUAAUAUCUUAUUUUGAUUAAUAAUAUCCUUUCAUUGUGUUAACUCAAAAAAAAAAUAUUCACAAGUUGGUGGCCCCUACAAUUCUGUUCGCAAGUGCUCAUUCACAAUCUUCCAGGUCAUGCUCUUAAUAAUUUACAUGAUCAAUUCUCUAAAUAUUUAGGGUAUAUGUGAACAUCGGUGGAGAAGCUUUAUUUAAUAUUAUUGAUUUAAAUACUAUGUCAAUUAAAAAUGUGCGGAAAAGAAUUUCGGUGGGAAUCUAUGCAUUCCCUUAGAGCUUUGAACUUAUCAUGUAAUCAUUCUCUAACUGAUAACUUAUCAUGUAAUCUUCUCACGUUUUAUGUCAUCAAUUCCUUUUCUUUUCUGUGGCUAGGCAACACUUUUUGGCCAAAGUAAGGAAAUCUGUACAGCAGUUUUCAACAAUUAUCAUGAUCAGAUCAGCCUUUAGCCUUGAAACGUCGGUCAGAAAAGUUUUAAAAUUAAUGCUAACAAGAAAAAGCUAGGUCAUAUUCCACAAAAGUAAAAGUGACAAAACAACCAGCUGGUUUCUUUUACUAAACUACAAAUUAAAAGUGGAUUCUUUUGAAUACAAGUGGGACAGACGAUUAGGCUCUUUUUAUUAAACGCAAGUAAAAAGUAGUCGAAUAGUCUUUUUCAAAUUAUUGUUUUAUUAUUUUUCCUUCAAAAGUUAGUGUGGCUCAUGUUUGCAGGUGCGCAAUCAAUAGAAUUGCACCUACAAAAGUAAAACACAAGUAAAUCACUAUUAUUAAGUGCAAAACAUUGAUAUUAAGGGAAGUAAAUAAUGCAAAACUAGUGCAUAAAUUGCACUCUAACAAUAUUGUACCAUAGUGGAGAAUUUGGAUAUUCUUAUUUAAGUAACAAGGAGAUUAUUUGCCUCAUCUUUAAACAAUGAAUCUUUGAGAGAUGAGGAGUGGGUGAUUGGCUGUGUCUUCAUGUAAUUGUUCAUUUAUUUGUAUUUUGAACUGUUAUGAAAAUCUUUAUAUGCCAAAUUAGUAAUACAAGUAUUCAGAUGAUUUUUCCUAUUGAUCAUGCAUUUGUAUCUGCACACAACCAUUGUAUAUCACUUUAUUCUGAUGCGCAAGUAUCUGUAAUUAAGAAGAAAAGAAAUAAUAAUCAUAUUUUAUUGCUUGGUUCAUGAUUAUUAACGAUUAUGGCUUUAAAAAUCUACAAAUUUCUUGUGUUCAUGUAUGAAUGUGCCAAGUUUGCUGUAUCUUAGAUUACCUUCUUCCAAGAUAACAAGUUCAUAUAUAUAUAUUUUUAAAAUCCUUUUCCAUUACAGUUGAAUUUCAAGUGUUAGUUUUGUUAUUAGUACCUGGUUGCCUGUUAUUAUGAUCUAAUAAACAGUGUACGGAUAUGUGCUCUACUUUUGGAGGGUCUCCACGUGAAAGAAAAUUGCAACAAUUGAAUUCUUCCGGGGGGUAUGGUAAUUAAUUUAUUUUCUCAACUUGUUGUAAGACUAAUAUAUUUCCUUCAGUAGGCACGGCAUGGUGGGAAAGGUUUUUAUUGAAAGAAUUCUGAUAUUUCUUAGACUUUGUUUUGGAAGGGGGUGGAGGGAUUUCUCAUCCAUAUAUGGUUACUUUGGGCGUUCCACUUCCCGGACCAAAAAAUACUACCUCAAAAGUCGUAUUCACAACCCGUUUCAUCGAUGUUUGUGGUAGCAUGGAAGUUGACAGGAAGUUUCAAGUAGCAUGCUUAUCAGAAAAGGAUGCUUGGGAACUGUUUCGAGAAAAAGUUGGGGAAGAAACUCUUCAGAGUGAUCAUGAUAUCGAUGAGCUAGCCCAAAUUGUGGUCAAGAAGAUUUUAUAUCCUGAAGAUUUUGGCAUUCUUAAAUGGGACUUGAUUGAUUGUUGGUUUGGCGAGGGAUUUUUUGGGGAAUCUGAAGGGUUUGGUGCAGAAAACCAAGGAUAUGACAUUUUGGACACUCUUGUUCGUGCAUGUUUAUUAGAAGAGGUGGAAGAUGAUGAAGUAAAAAUGCAUGACGUUAUUAUUGUGGUGCACUUGCAGCAAGAUAACCAGACCGGUAUGUGCUCUUAUAUUAACUAUAUUGACUGGAUUUGUUAGUGUGCGCAUUUUUUUGUGUAUACUCACUUUUGUAUUUAUGCAUAUUAACAUGUGUAGGAUUCUUGAUUUCUGCCACUUACUGGAGAACUAGUGGAAAGCUUUAUACUGAUAUAUCUGCAAUAACUAAUGGAAACUAUGAUAUGAAUAUUUUCUCUCACCUGGGGAGCUGUGUAACAGAUAUACUUUGUGGCUCUGGAAUGCUGAAGAUUCUGCAAUAACUAAUGGAAAAUAUGAUAUGAAUAUUCUGUCUCACCUGGAGAACUUUGUUACAGAUACCCUUUGUGGCUCUGGAAUGUCUAAAGAAUGCUUCAGUUAGAUCAAAUAUCUUUUAGUUAGAAGAGAUAAAAUUCUCUGAGUCUGAAAGACUGAAACAUUUUGCAUAUUUUGUGAAAGGGAAAUAUCUGUUGAUACUAGCUCAUGCAUUGAGGUAAUAUCGAUGUUAAAGAAAAACAGCAAUGAUUUAUGAUAUAGAAUUGGGUUCACUUGCUUUAAAUGCUGGUCUGAUCAACCAUAUCAACCUGUAAUGAUUCUGCAGAAAUAUAUAUACGAGGAGAAAGUAGCUAAAUUUUUCUUUCAUUUAUGGGUUCGGUCUUUUUUCCCCUUAUUUUUCAGCUUGCCUUCUCCUGAAGUAUGUUAACAAUUGCAGAUAAUGAUGAAGAGGACAGCUUCCAGGCUCUCCUUAGAGCCGUGAUGGAAUAUAGGGGCACAAUGAAGGAAUAUUGUAAAGCUGUAGGUACUUUUUCUCCUGUCAUUUAUGUUUUCUUACACAUUUUGUAUAUGCCCUGAACAUGCACCUUUGUAUGUAUCAAUUGACUUUUAAAUUUUAAAAGCCAUAAAGUAAGAAUACGGUUCCUUGUCAGGCUACUGAUGCAUUCGCUCAGGGGGGUCAUGUUCGAGCAGGAAAAUUUCUAGAACAGGUAAGGUUUCCAUCUACAGCCAUCCAUUGACAGCAGAUACAUUUUCAUUCAGCAGACUCUGUUAGCAUUCAAGAUGCUGGCAGAUUCACUUGAUUCUUAUUAGCUUGUUUAGUGGCAAAGCCUAUAACCUGUAUUUCAAAGCCAAGUUGUGCUAUUGAUUAUGUUAACUUUUUUGUUAACAUAAAAUGAUAUGGAGGAAAUAAUCAGUGUUGGAAAAUUAGGUGAAAAGAUGAUGUCAAAUCUUGAACCUCUUACGAAACUCUAAGUUCUUUACUUGAAGAGGCUACCAAAUUUGAACAGCGUCUACUCGAAGGCCUUGCCAUUCCCUGAUGCAUGCAGAAUUUUUGUAUUUAAAUGCCCAGAGCUUAAGAAGCUGCCACUGGAUCUUGAAGGGGCAGACCAAGGUAAAAUUCUUAUCAAGGGAAAGGAAGAUUGGUGGAAACAACUUAAUGGGAGGAUCAAGUAAUUCAGAAUGCAUUGCUUCCAUUUUUUAAAUCGACUGACAAGUGAUUGAACGGGGCAUCAUCAACAUCAUCAACAGGGAUGGAGAGAUGACGGAGCAGAUCAGCAGGGUUUGAAUAUGACCUUUGGCGGUUGCCUUUUUUUUUUGUGAUUUUUUUUCAUUUUUUCCUUCCUGUCAUUUUAUCAUUUCUUUGGCUCUGUUUCUAUUGCGGGUGUUACUGCAUGCUUACUGUUGCUUGACAAAGUUUGCUAGCUUUUUGUUUGCAGUGCUGCUAUACACUCCGAGUCAAGCCCCGAAAAUUUAUUAAACGACGCCGUUUCGACAGUAACAAUUCUAUUCUUUUACCUUUGCCUGUCUCUUUCAUCUGCUGUUUCUCUAUCACUUUUCAUUUUUGAUUUCCUUGCUUCCCAGCUGCCCCUAAAUUGUUAUUCUAGCAAUAUACUUUCUCAUCUUUGAAUUUUCAUCCUUGAGUACUCCCACAGCCGUAAUUUCAUCAUUAUAGACUUCACUUGGAAUGCUGUAUUUUUUCGAUUCCUGAGCUACUUCAAUUACAUCUUAGUAUAGGAUCCUCAUCUUCCUUUAUUUCUUCAUCUUAUGAGGUAACAAAUGGAUUUCACAACUCAUCUACUUUUAAGCAAUUACAUAUUAUACCUCGAAUGAUUCAACUGUUCCGACAGUUAAAGAUUUUAUGCUCAACCUGCAGUGCUACGAACAUUGUCCAUGAAAGAUGAGUUUCAGCAUAUAAAAUGAAAUAUAGAUGUUUAAUCUAAAAUAACCCUUCACUGCCAGAAACCUAGGUCACAAAAUUCACAGAUAAUGAUAAAGAGCUAAAAAAUUUGAAAAACUCUACAGAUCACACAUCAAGCAAGAUAUCAUGUUUGUUUUCCCUCGUUCGGUGGUGAUUGAUUCGUUUUUUGAUGAUGGAUAUGGUAUAAAAGUUUUGACCCAAUUUCAAGCAAACACAAAUAGAAACGCACAAACACAAACACAAUCGGGACUAGAGUUGUGGGCGAUUAUCUCAGGUGUACAAGUGAAACGGUGGUGGCUGUCGAUGGUGGUAGUGGGGUGGUUGGGUAUGCGUGAUGGCUAGAUUUUAGGACAAUAAUGGUUGGAGUUGACCUCAAUCAACGAAGGAAAGUGACAACAAUUUUGACAUCAAACGGUGCAUUUUUUAAGAAGGCUGGACGGAGUGCAAGUGUGGGUUUCGAGGGUGGAUUCUGUUAAAACUGAAGCUGAUCAAUUUAUAAGAGACGGCUCUCGAGAAAUUGAAAAAUUAUGUGUUGGAGGCUACUGUUCCAAGAACUGCAGGUCAAGCUACAAUUUCGGAAAACAAGUGGCUAAAAAGCUACGAGAUGUGGAGACUUUAAUCGCCGAAGGAGUUUUUGAGGCGGUGGCUACCGAGGUGGUGGCUGACAGAGCUCCAGAGUCUGUAGCAGAUGAAAGACCUACUGAGCGAACAGUAGUAGGCUUGCAAUCACAACUUGAACAAGUCUGGAGAUGUCUUGUAGAAGAAUCAGCGGGAAUCAUUGGCCUAUAUGGUAUGGGCGGUGUUGGUAAAACUACACUACUGACCCAUAUCAACAAUAAAUUUCUCGAGAGUCCAACCAACUUUGAUUGUGUGAUUUGGGUUGUAGUUUCAAAAGACCUGCGACUCGAAAAAAUUCAAGAAGAUAUUGGGAAAAAGAUAGGUUUGGUUGGUGAUUCAUGGAAGAGUAAAAGUGUAGAGGAGAAAGCUGUCGACAUCUUCCGGAGUUUAAGAGAGAGAAGAUUUGUAUUGUUGUUAGAUGAUAUAUGGGAGCGGGUUGAUUUAACAAAGGUGGGCGUUCCACUUCCCGGACCAAAAAAUACUACCUCAAAAGUCGUAUUCACAACCCGUUUCAUCGAUGUUUGUGGUAGCAUGGAAGUUGACAGGAAGUUUCAAGUAGCAUGCUUAUCAGAAAAGGAUGCUUGGGAACUGUUUCGAGAAAAAGUUGGGGAAGAAACUCUUCAGAGUCAUCAUGAUAUCGUUGAGCUAGCCCAAAUUGUGGUCAAAGAGUGUGGUGGUUUGCCACUCGCACUUAUUACUAUUGGUCGAGCUAUGGCCUACAGAAAGAAAGCGGAGCAGUGGAGACGUGCAAUUGAAGAGUUAAGGAGAUCAGCUUCAGAGUUUGCAGGUUUGGGAAAAGAGGUGUAUCCUCUUUUAAAAUUCAGCUAUGAUAGUUUGCAGAAUGAUACGGUUAGAUCUUGUUUCUUGUACUGUUGUUUAUAUCCUGAAGAUUGGAAUCUCACAGCUUUGGUGCAGAAAACCAAGGAUACUACAUUGUGGGCACUCUUGUUCGUGCAUGUUUAUUAGAAGAGUUAGAAGAUGAUCAUGUAAAAAUGCAUGACGUUAUUCGUGAUAUGGCUCGAUGGAUAGCUUGUGAAAUUGAGAAGGAGAAGAGAAACUUUUUGGUUCGUGCAGGUGCUGGAUUAAAAGAGGCACCGGGCGUUAAAGGAUGGGAAAAUGUGAGAAGAUUGUCAUUGAUGCAAAACCAAAUUGAAACUCUGUCAGAGGUUCCCACAUGCCCUCAUCUUCUCACUUUAUUUCUUGACUUUAAUAGGGAGUUGAAGACUAUCGCGGAUGGCUUCUUCCGAUGUAUGCCUUCUCUCAAAGUUUUGAAGAUGUCACGCUGUGGGCAAUUCGAAGGUUUUCAGUUACCUAUUGGGAUGUCAGAGUUGGGUUCGUCACUAGAACUUCUUGAUAUUUCAUAUGCCAGCAUAACAGAGUUACCAGAAGAGUUAAAGUUG
Molecule: long non-coding RNA, 54126 nt
Filed under: Citrus sinensis (sweet orange)
Lineage: Eukaryota; Viridiplantae; Streptophyta; Magnoliopsida; Sapindales; Rutaceae
Description: long non-coding RNA (CSIN_LNC005273)
Source: RNAcentral